This 74790-nucleotide long non-coding RNA is filed under the name Ananas comosus (pineapple). RNAcentral describes it as "long non-coding RNA (ACOM_LNC008420)". The record is from RNAcentral. Lineage: Eukaryota; Viridiplantae; Streptophyta; Magnoliopsida; Poales; Bromeliaceae.
GCAACUUGAUAAGUAUCUGGGGGCUUAAUCUCUCAAAUAAUAGGCUCUCUGGUGAGAUUCCAGACACCAUCGGCAAAUGCGCCAUCUUGGAAAUUCUUCAUUUAGAGAAUAACUUAUUUCAAGGGUCCAUUCCUGCCUCCAUUGGCAAUUUAAGAGGGCUUGAGGAGCUUGAUCUCUCAAAAAACUUCUUCUCGGGCCAAAUACCGGCAUUCCUUGAUGAGCUCCCGGAUCUACACUACUUGAAUCUCUCCUUCAACAGUUUUGAGGGUCAAGUGCCGAUGAAAGGGGUCUUUAAGAAUGCGAGCGAAGUCUCGCUUAUUGGAAAUAGUAAACUCUGCGGCGGAAUUCCAGAAUUACACUUGCCGAAAUGCACUUCAGAUGCCUUCGCAACAAAACAUCACUCUGAUUAUAAACUCAGAGUAAUACUCAUUCCUAUAUGUGGAGCAAUUUUGUGUUUGAUCAUAAUCAUGUGCUUGCUUGGGAUACAUCACUUGAUUAAAAACUCACAGAGAAAGCCGCUGUCGAGGUUUUCCUUAAGAAAUAGACACACGAAAGUAUCUUACGAUGAGCUCUUGAGGGCUACAAAUGGGUUCUCCUCAGAUAAUCUGAUCGGCGCGGGAAGUUUUGGGUCUGUUUAUAAAGCCGCCAUGAACUAUGAAAACGCCGACAUCGUUGCGGUGAAAGUGUUUAACCUUCAACAGCAUGGGGCUUUCAGAAGUUUUAUGUCUGAAUGUGAGGCCCUGAGAAGCAUUCGACACCGAAAUCUUGUCAAAAUUCUUACAUCGUGCUCUAGUUUGGAUCACCGCGGUAACGAUUUCAAGGCCUUGGUUUUUGAGUACAUGCCUAAUGGAAGCUUAGAAGAGUGGCUACAUCCAAAUGCACGCGAGAAUAGGCCUUUCAGAAGCCUAAGCCUAAUCCAGAGGUUGAACAUAGCUGUCGACGUAGCCUCAGCAUUAGAGUAUCUUCAUCACGAAGGGUCCGUGCCGAUUGUUCACUGUGAUCUUAAGCCCAGCAACGUCCUUCUCGGGAAUGAUAUGACGGCGCACGUGGGCGAUUUCGGGUUAGCAAAGUUUCUACAGCAACCGCUUGACGAAUCAUCAGAGCGUUCAUCUACCAGCACUGUGGGAAUCAAAGGAUCUAUUGGUUAUGUUCCUCCAGGUGAGGAAUAUGCAAUAAAAUGCUAACUUUUUUCAUGCUUUACGGCAUUUUAGAAUAAAAUGCAACACAUUUUUAUCUGAUUCCUAACUAUACUAUGUCUAAUAUUUUUUGCUGCUCAGCAAAAAACAAGCGAAUAGCAUAACUUUAAUAAAUAAAAUGAUAAAUUGAGUGUACGAAUUAGUAGAAAAGGGGAAAAAAAUAUUGUAGGAAACAAAAAGGAUACUACAAAUUAGCCACAAAAACCGACAUACUAGAGUUAGAAUCAGCUGCUUGAUGCUUACUACUAAACACGCAAGAGCAUAAACUUUAUUUAUACAUAUGUAAUGCUGUUUUAGAGUCAAUUUAUAAACUAAAAGAUCAAAUGCAGUUUUUGUAACUAUGGCUUGGAAACAGUGGGAACCAAAUCCAAAUCCAAAUGAAUUCACCUGACAAUCUUGUAUUGUCCGUUUCCAUUUAACAUAUGUUGUGCAGAGUAUGGAAUGGGCUGUAAACCAUCUAGGCUCGGCGAUGUGUACAGCUACGGAAUUCUUCUGCUGGAGAUGUUCACUGGAAUGAGCCCCCUCGACGACAAGUUCAAAGACGGACUGAGCCUUCGUGGAUAUGUUCAUGCUGCUGCUGCUUCUCCUGAACAUCUUAUGGACAUCAUAGACAGAAACCUGCACUCAGCUGAUAAUGAUAUGGCUUAUCGAGAAGAGUGUGUGCGAGAUUGCUUAGUUUUGGUGUUUGACUGCGGUGUCUCGUGCUCGAAUGAAUCACCACACGAACGAUGCGACAUGACAGAAGUCUCAAAGGUGCUGAGUGCAGCAAGAGAGAGGCUUCUUAGCUAAAAGCAGUUUUGCUCCCUGUGCUACUGUUCUCACUAGAGGCAAAUGAAUGUAUGUUUGAACAUCCUCUGCUUUUCCUUAUUUGCAUUAAAAAAAAUAAACCUUGUGUAAUAUAAAUGCCUAGUCCUUAUGGUUUUGAUCACUCCUUUCUAAAAUGAAUGCAACCAAAAGGAGAUAAGCACUUCAAAAUUUGCAUCUGUAUACAUUAAUAGCUUCAAAUUCCUAAUUUCUGGCUCAAGUUUAUAAAUGAAGCCUAAUAUAAUAUUAUAACCCAUCAUCUCCUAAUAUGCGUUGAAUACACUUUUCAACAGAGAGCUCCAAACUAUCUACAAGGGUGUAUAUACAAAUUUUGGAUUUCUCUCUCUCUCUUGAUUGAUAGGUAACUUGUUGAAAUCCUUAUUCUCGCUGCUAUUUUUCUUAGACAGCAUUGUUCUAUAUAUCCUCUUUAAGUUAUUUCUUUCCGAUGAUAGGAUACCUUUCCGAUGAUAGGAUAUCUGGAUCGACAAUCUGCACUGAUAAAUAUAAUUUUGGGUAUUGGAAGUGAAUCUGAUUUUUAAAGAUUAUUUUAUGGUUCAUCAGGCGGCUGCAGAAUGAACUUUAACAGCAUUAUGAAAAUAAAUCAUAGGAUUCAUCAAUUUAAGAUCAAAGGUAUGAACCUAGCUUAAAUUAUUUUCAAACAAAAAUUCAAGCAAUGUAGACUAAAGUUGUCGAUUUUGAGAUGCUUCAAUCAGUACACAAUGUCAGGAAAUAAUAGAAUUUAGUUCCCAGAGAGUUUAAUUUUAACGAAAUCCCAAUUCAAUAAACUGAAAUAACCCAAACAAAAUAAAUAAAGUUUAGAAGGUGCCUAUCGAAAAAGAAAAAUGAAUUUGAAGGCCCUUUUUUAAAAUGGCCUGUAGUUGCAGCGACUCCAUGCAUGUUUACCUAAAAUUAGCACAAACUACUAAAAGAUCAUAAAAUAGUAUGUAAGGAGGACAUUGACCACAACAGCAGCAGCAUUAACAACAGCAACAACAAAACCAUUUACAAUCAAACAAAGCAUUACAAGUAAAAGCAAGAAUCCAAUGGAAAGAAACACAAACACUCUGGAAAACACAACCAAAUGCUGUUUGUUAUACCAAAGUUGCGACGAAUGAGAGGACUCAGUUGCGAUCGCCUAACGUGUAUUUGACGCAACGGAAAAAGAACACCAGAUACAUACAUGCAUACACCGCCCCACUCUGAAUUUCUUGUACUUUCUGAGGUGCACGCAAAUCGCUUCUUCUUUCUCGAAAUAGGAUCGUCAGCCAACUGCUUGGUUAUGGAAAAGCUUCUCGAUCCAAAACACGUCAACCAAAUAUCUUAAAGAUGAUCAAACAUAGAGAUUUGAAGUCGUAAAAAUGAUCAAUCCUUUGGCGAUACUGUAAGCCUCUUUGCGAUCUACUGCUGCAGCUUCUAUACUAGCUAGUGCUAUCUCAGUCGAGCUUGUGAAUGAAUGAUCUAGCACUAACAGCUUUUUAUGUCAAUAAACAUCCUAAUAGAUUUUUAUUAUAGCAAAAGCCGAUGUUUUUCGAAAAGAAAAACAAAAGCUAAAUAAUUUUAACUUUAGAAGCCUAAAUAAUUUUAACUUUAGGUUCACGCUUCGUAUGCCGUUUUCUCUACCACAUUUGUUUUAUAGUGAGAAAUAUGUAAUUCCACCGGAUUAGGCUCGUGAAUGACUCCAGGUACCCAGAAGUGUAUAUACCUGAUUAAUUAUGCAUUUUUUUGUUAUAUUUGGACAACCUCCAAUUAAGCUGGUCAUGAUGAAAACACCCGUCUCUAAAUAUUAAGAUAAAUUAACCAAGUUAACGAAGUUAAGAGGUAUGUAUAACAAAGCUUGAAAUACUAGUCGAUCAGAAUCCUAAAUAUUAAGAUAAAUUAAUUCUAUUUCCGAUCAUCGAACGCAAGUCAUAAUUAACUAGAUUUGAAGAGACCAAACAUUACAUCCAGAUGGACUGCAAAUUAAGUAAACAGUAAACGCUUCAAGGAAAAUAUUAUUAUGACCAGCAAAAUUUUUUCAUGCAAUUUUUUUUUCCUUUUUCAACAAUCCAAAGUUCCAAACAUAGUUCACUCGUACCAUUUUCUUUUUUCUUUUUCUUUUUUCUUUUUAGCUCAAGUGAGAAGUUUACAUGUGUAUCCGAGAUAUAUAUAUAUAUAUAGCUCCCAACCUGUAAUAAGAGAAUAAAGAAAGGAUUAUGUUAGAGAGGGAACCGGCAGCCCACCAAAGCUCCCUCACUGACGGCCACGGGGAGCGGCCCGACGACACAUUUUCCGGCUAUGGUGAUGACGGCCCCUUCAAUGGUGGCGGGGUUGGCGGCGGACGGGGGAGGUGCGCUCAAUUCAUCAGCUCGGGGACAGAGAUCGCUAAAUAUAGAGAAAAGAAGAGUUCAAAAAAGAAAAACAAAAAAAACAAAUUGAGAGAGGGAGAGAUCGCUAAAUAUGGAGAAAAGAAGAGUUAAAAAAAAAAAAGAAAAAAAACAAAUUGAGAGAGGGAGAGAUCGCUAAAUAUGGAGAAAAGAAGAGUUAAAAAAAAAAAAGAAAAAAAACAAAUUGAGAGAGGGAGAGAUCGCUAAAUAUGGAGAAAAGAAGAGUUAAAAAAAAAAAAGAAAAAAAACAAAUUGAGAGAGGGAGGAGGUAGAGGGCAAAUGGGUAGGAAGGCGAAGCAUCACAGCAGCAGGUGGGUGAGUGGACAGAAAUGCAAAUUGUCACGGCAGGUGGUGAGCGGGCAGGUAUGCAAAGCGUCAGAGCAGGUGUGCGGGCAGCUAAGCGAAGCGUGACUCAUGCCAAGAUUAGUAAAUCAGUUUUUAUAUAUUACUAGUGAAGAGACCCAAGCUUUACAGCAGAUUAAAACCCUAAUAGUAAUUAAUAAUAAUAAAAUAUUAAAUAUUUUUUUGUAUAUUUUAUUUGGUACAUCUAUCAAAAGUAUCUCACUACAGACGGCAGAUAUGAACCCGACGAUGUCUUCUCCCGCGAUGGUGAUAGUGAUAGUGAAGGCGACGACGAGCUCUCCGACCGCGGCGGAAGAAGGAAUUGGGCGCAUAUUAGUGAGAGAGAGAGAGCGUGAGCGAGGGAAGGAGGCGAUGAUGUAUAUCUAGAGGUGAGAGAUAGAGAAUUGAUGAACAAAUCAGAGAUAAAAAAUUGAAAGUUCGGUGGAAGGAGGAAAAUGGGCCAUGAUGAAUAAUUAGAGAUAGAGAGGUUAGAAUCGUAGAUAGUAGUAGGAUCAUUUAAAUAUAUUAAUUGGAAGUUUGGUAGUGGAACCAUUUACAUUAAUUGAAAAUAUAGUGGAGAGAAGGUAGUGGGACUAUUUAAAUGUACUAAUUAAAAGUUUGAUUAAUGGGACUGUUAAAAUGCAUAUUGAUAAUUUAGUGAACAUGAUGAAUAAUUGGAGAUAGAGAGAUUAUGAUCGUAGAUAGUAGUAGGACCAUUUAAUAUACUAAUUGAAAGUUUGGUAGUGGAACCAUUUACAUUAAUUGAAAGUAUAGUGGAGGAAAGACAGUGGGACCAUUUAAAUCCACUAAUUGAAAAUUUGGUUAAUGAGACCGUUAAGAUGCAUAUUAAAAAUUUAGUGAUAGAAAAAAGAAAAGUCAUUUGUUAGUGAGGGUGAAAAAAAACUUGCCAUGUGGCAACAAAUAUUGAUGAUUUAUAUAGUUUAAUAGACUAGUGUAGUAAUCUGUGCUAUACAAUUAGGGGUGGAACUAGGUCGGGCUUGGGUCGGAUAAUAGUAUGCCCAAGCCUGGCCCAAAAUAAAAUAUUGGACUUCUGGUCGGGCUUUUUCCUAAUUUCUUUUGAAAAUUAAGGCCUGGCCCAAGCCCAAGCCCAAUACCCAAUACACAUCGAGCUUUGUAGAGGCCCAUUUUACUCAUAUAUACAUACAAAUUUUUAUUUGUAUAAAAUUAAAAUAAAAUACAUAUUUUUUCUGGGUUUGAUAAUUAAUAUAUAACAUCAAAUAUAAUACUAUUAAUAUCCACCAAUAUUUAUCCAUCAAUGAAAUAAAACCAAACAAAGAAAAUUAGUAAACUAAAACUAAGAUUUAGGCAAAUAGAAGCUGUUGCUUCAGCAAUCCUCACUUCUACUCCAAUAUUGGCAAUCAUAUAAAGUAAAUAAUAGGAUAAAAACUUCUCAUAAGAAUAGAACGUUUAAUUAAAUAGGGCAUAUAUAGUUUUCUAAAGGAGCGUUGUAGUAUUUUAAAAUUUUAAAAUUACACUUAAGUUAUGUACAUAGAACGUCUAAUUAAUUUUUUAAAAAAAUUUAAAAUAAUAUAUAUUUAGUAAGUGUUAUGUGCUAACUAAUUAGGUAUAUUUAAUAAUAUGUACUUUAUAAUAUAUCAUAUAUAUAUAUAUAUAUAUAUAUAUAUGGAAUUAUGCUACUAUACUAUCAAUAGUACCAAACCCUUGGUACUAUUGAGUUUUCGGCCGUUGGAUGAAAAGAUGUGCGGUUAGGAUGAUAGUGGUUCCCGGUUAAAUUGAUAGUGGUCCUCUAGGGUUGAGUGGGUGGUUGGUUUAAUAGUAUAAUCUAACGGAUGGAAAUGAUCAAAGGGUAGAUCUAAAGGUAGAAAGCUCAAUAGUACUAAGGGCUUGGUACUAUCGAUAGUAUAGUAGCCGGACCCUAUAUAUAUGAUAUAUUAUAUCAUUUAUUUCUUUUAUAAAUAAAUAUUAUAUAUACAUAUAAAAUUAAAUAUCAUAUUUUGAUAAUUAAUAUAUCGAGCUUUUGGGUCGGUCUCGAACGGAGCUUGGACAUGCCCAAAUAGGCCCAAAAUUUUUUCAGGCCUAAAUUUUAAGCCCGGCCCGAACCCAAAGUUAUAUUUAAUACCAAAGCCCGGCCCAAAUAUAGCUUAUCGGGCCGAGCCUUGGUUUAGGCCCGAGCCCAGUUCCACCCCUAGAUAGAAUGAGUGAAUUCAAGGAAACAAUCUGAUUGGUUCGGGAUACCACAUCAGCAAUAUGCUGGUGUAAUCCAGACUUUUUCGACUACCAUACUACCAGUGAUGUCAAGGCCCAAUCUUUAAGUUGAUAUUUAAUUAACUGGGCCAGCCCAUCACAAUGACAAACAAACAGGCCCACAGCCUACUCCCUUGUAACUCAAAAUUUAGUGAAACUUAAAAGGGUUCAGUCGUAAAAAGUGUACAUCUUAAUCAAAUGAUUUAAAAGAUUUGAUUAAGAAUCCAAAUCCAAAUCCAAAUAUUCACUCCAGCGAAUUCGUGACAACUAAGUAGUUAAGUUAUUAAUCUCACAAGUUGAGUACACCGUGUUCAAAAUGUCUCAUAAAUUCAACUCGGUGCUUGUAAGUUUUUCACUAUUAAAUUUAUUCUUUUGACCAAUUUUGCACUUAGAUUAUACUAUUCUAUUAAUCACCAACUCAGUCCUUUGCCUCUAUCACGAGAGGCAAAGGACUUAAUAAUUGAUAUCCGAGGUCCUAAUAAGAAGCUUAGUUACUUAAUAUUUUUUCAUCAAAGUUCAUUUUUUAAAAGCCAAACAAAGCGGCAGAUAGAGUACUAUAUAUCUUUCUCUCUCUCUCUCUCAAAAAAAAAAAAAAAGAAAAAAAAAAAAGGAAAAUAUGGCAGGGUAACAGGUUGCAGAAACUAUUGCAUGGACUGCAUUGUACAAGCCAAGAUCUUCAAUACUCAAAAAAAAACACUGCAUGACUCCACGGAAACAUAAAUUGAGAGUCUAGUCACCAAUUACAAUCAAUUUGGAGAUUAAGGACCGAACUGAAACUCUGUGACUAGUUGGUAACCAAUCGCAUAAUCUCCUCUUUAGAUAUAUAGCAUUCAAUUUUUCGCAAAAAAGCAACUGAAGGGAUCCAUUUUCCAACCCGAGACCUUCAAAUGAAAAGCCCUAAACAUCCUCGCGCCGGACCGCCUAUCGGACAUCCGAUCGCAAACCUCAGAAACGACCUCCCAUCCCCUCUUCUUCCCCUCCUUUAGCCUCCUCCUCAGUCGAUCGCCGGAACUCUCCUUCACCGAAAAUUGGUAGCUAUGUAAAAACGCGCUUCUUUUCGUAUGAUCUUGUCGGGCAUUGCCGAUUGGCUCGGCCGAACAAUGUGGCAGAAGGGCGGCGCCGGAGCCGGUCGCCGGCGGGCUGAACUCUGCCAUAUGGAAAAACUAAUACUCUUUUUUGUUGUUGUUGUUGUUUCUGCAGUAAAGUUUGUGUUCGAAGAGUACUACUAUAAAUAGUAAGUGUGAGUGAGAGAUAGGGUCGUUAGUUCAACAAAAUGUGCAUGCAAAUUUUUAAGUAGUUGGUGUCGAAUUGGUGCACCAAGCAUCACCAAUUAAUUGACACCAUUUAGAUGAUUGAUUUUUUAUUGCUGAAAAUAUAUAUAAAUAUAUGUCAGGUGUUAAUAGGGCCUUUUUUGGGAUGGCCCUCAAUUGUGAGAAAAUGUUGCUGCUGUCGCAUCUCAUUUGUACUGCUUUUGAUGUGAUAUAAUAAGCAUAGGUUUUCACCUGGCAUGCAUUUCCUACUACUACUUAUGUAAGAGAUUUUUACACAUGCACAGGGUUGAUCUGGUAACUUAAUAUCGACAGGUUGAAUCAGCAUCCUCCAAAUAUGAAUGGCACAGAUUCGUUUUGCCGCGGAACAAUCCUGUGUGUAAAAUUUUCUGCAUACGAAUUUUUUUGGGUAAUUGCAAGAUAUUAUUUCACCUAGUUUUUAAGAGGAUGUGAAGGAGCAUUUUGCCUUUUUUUUUUUUUCUCCAUAAUAGCUAUAAGAACCGUAUGAUAAACCUGGAGGCCCCGAACUCUGGCGAGCAUUUACUUCAGAUAGUUGCUUCCUUUUCUUGUUUUGUUUUGUUUUGUUUUAAUUUUUUCGGUCUUAUGAACUACACAAUAUCAGAGGUGCAACCCAUUUCAAACACAACGACGGGACAAAUAAAAGGCGAAAAACAGAUACAAGAGAGAGAGAGAGAGAGAUUCCUACAAAAUUACAAAUCUGGAGCUUAGUCCAUUGCUUAACACUUACUCGAGUCAUGCGCUUUGUUCAUACAUUAAACUAAAUUUAAAAUGGAAAAGAACAAUGUCUCUUUCGCUGUUUAUUUACGGCUGCAAAUCUACCGUCGACGGACUCGGCCCCUCUACCUGAUCUGGAAGAUGAAUCGGGAAAUUGAUCACCACCUACAGGCUACAGAGAGAUUUUGUCAAACUUGGUUAACAAAAUAUACGACAAAGAAUAGACACGGAAUUUGAUUACUUCGUUACCAACAUAUGCUUUCAGUAACUUCAUUUUUAAUUUCUCUUUUUUAAAGUCAAGAGAUUUCACGCCACACUUGGUUAUUACAACUAAGAUUUUAUUUUAUAAUUUGUUUCCUCAUUUAUUUUUUUUGGUAAAACGAGGGAAGUACGCUUGUGGUCGUGGAGAGAAUUCAUAUUAGAAUUAGAAUAGUUUAAAUUGGGAAAAAAUAAAGGCUACAUUUUUCUUCUCUUAUGUUAGUUCACAAAAAAAUUUUGCAGAAAAACGCACAGAAAAACAAUUUCCCAGCUGAGCUUACUAAGGCAACGAGUUCAUGAUCGUUAUUCGUUAUAAAAUAAACGUACGAGAAACAUAUGGCGAAUUUAAAUUCUUGGAAAUGAAUACACAACCCGAUGAGAUCCAGGGAAAAUUUCACCUAUGGACUAAACUUCGUAUUAGUAUACUUCAUCUCACUAGCACAAUUAAGCUACAACAUCACCCCCUCUACUAUGAAAAAAUAUAGUUGGCAGCUCGCAUAAUGAACCAACUAAAAUAGAAAUUGAAGUUCGAUAAUUCGAUCACAUCAAUCUUCAUGAAAUCCGCUAGCCUAAAUGAAAUUUUGCGACCAGCGAUCGCAGAUGUCCGGGAUACCUUGUUACUGAAUCAAUAGGGAUACCUUGUUACUGAAUCAAUAGUUUCAAUUGCGCACACAAUACCUGGAACAUUUUAGAGAAACAUGAGGGCCUAAAAAGUAGAAGGAAACUGGCGUAAAAUCAAGUCUCUUUUCAGAAAUAUAAGCUGGAAUAUUUUACUGGAGAGAAGAAAUUGCGCCGUAUCGAGGAGUGAAAUGAUAAGAGGAAAGGAGAAUCGGGCCGAAGUAUUUGAUUAAAGCAAACUAAGUCUACUAAACAUUUCUACCGUCUCAACUCCGAAUUAGAUUUCGCACUUGUCAACAGACAUAUAUGCUGCAAAUUACUAGUUCUGUACAGGUUCCAACCAGGUUGAUGAGUAUAGCUAAAAAAAUUUAUGCUGAAUCGAAAAUUUUUACGCAACCCGGAAUCAACGAAAGAGCUUGAGCUACUAUAUUGGGUUUGCUGUAUAAGAAGUGCCAUUUUACUUGUAUUUUUGUGUUGAACCCAACACAAAUUGUCUCUUAUUCUAGCAUUCCUCAGAAAGCAUAAAGAGAUGUAAAGAGACAGGAUUCUAACUUACGCGCACAUUAAAUACAUUUUGGUAACCCACUAAAAUGGCACAGAUUGAAGUUUAAUGAACCAAGUGUGAUGUGCAGAAUGAGUGCCUACUGUCAAAACCUCGACAACCUAAUCUACCUCUCUAUAUCCUAACUCUAGCAUUUGUCGGCCGAAUAGAAAGAUUGUUCCUUCGACUGCAAGUCGGUAGGGCCUUGUUUCUCUCAAAAAAUGAAAGAAAAACGAAGAAAGCAAGCUCAGAAUCAACAAAUGAUUUGUACCAAUAUUGCAAAACUUCGAUAAUGAAACGACGUAACGCAUACAGGUGAUAUUAUGUAAUACAAAAACUACGCAGAUCAGAAAGUAACAUAUGACAGCUAAAGUUCGCUACCUAAUGUAUAAAACAGUUUCUCAGCUUCCCCUUUCGCCCUCUUUACAGUAUUGUAUUAACUAAAAACACUUACAGAACAGACUAACAGAAACAGGAAUGUGAUUGAUUUUCCGGAAAACUAAAAAAGGAGAAGACGACUGAUUAAAAAUACUGGUUUCAAACCAACAAGAUCAUUGUCGAAAUGUGCAAGGAGUAAACUCGCUUACAGUAUUACAUACGUUGUAUUCGAGAAAAAUAAGUUCAUGGUUUUGAACAUGCCUUACGACUCGGUCAUGCACGAUAAGUACAGGAUUGUAAUUUAUUGUUAUAAAUUUAAUGUUAUAUAGGUGUUCAAUGUUCCAGCAUAGAGUAUCCACAAAUAACAUAUUAAGACAACCAGGUGCCUUUGGAUGACUUUGUACUGGUUAUGAUAGAGAACGAUGGGGUACGAUAUGGUACGUGCUGCGAGCGAAGAAAUUUCAGUGCAAGGGAUAAACUCUGUUGUCUGUUUUGAUGCAUGUGUGAAAAGGUACUGUUAAGCGCAGUUACAUUUACGCCCAAGUUAAAGCUUAGAGACCCUAAACUUUUAAAAGAGUUCCAUUUUAGUCAUUUUGCAUAUUUAGUAUUGAUCGUUACUAUGGUACAUUCAUAUACCAUGCAAUUAUUAAAAUGGAUGACGGAUUGACAGAUUCAUGUGGUCGGGACAUAUGAUGAACUGGGUCUCGAAUGAAAUAUUUUAGAACUAAAUGAAACAUGGUUAAAAGCUUAAAGGACUAAAAUAAAACUAUGUUGAUAGUUUAGGAUCUCGAACGUCAAACUUACAAGUUUGAGGACCAAACUUGAGUUCAAGUUCAGGGACAAGUAGUGCAGUUUACUGAAUUUAAUUACUUCCCUUUAGUUUCAAUACAGUUCUCCUUCAUUUGGUCUUUCGUCCUGUUCAUAGCGUACGAUUCUUCUCACAAUUUUAUAUUAUAUGACCAGCUUAAGUAUUUCCAAAUACUGAAUCAAUACUUACGUAAAUUGUAAUCUAGCUUAGUCAAGAGAAAUUUGGACUACAGGUCUCAUCUAACGCUCAUAAAUAAAAUGGAGUUGGCGUGAAAGCAUAGAAAUAAUUCUGCAUUUUCCGAUGGGAUCGCAGAAAAUAUAUCGUAACCAACUCAUUGUGAUAUAAGGAACGUGAUGUAUACGUAACGAAGACAAACAGGAUUAUUUUUCCUUCGUACUUUCUCUCCGCACGUAAUGCAACCUCCCCGCAAUCCCAAAUAGAGCCAAAUGUAAAGCUAUUGGCUUUCUAAAGUCCAUGAUAGUUGGCGUAAUGUCGGUAAACAUUGUGUUUGACGGGAUAGCGCAUCAACGUUGCGAAUAACUGCAAAAUGACUGGGGAUCGCAAUUACUGAAAUCGUGAUGGCAUAACUGCAGUCCUUUGAUUUCUAUAACUAAUACCUAAGAAUGGACUAUAUUGUAUCUCAAGAACAUACGACUUUAUUAUUUGACAUGAUUUUAGUAAUGAACAUGGACUAACAUAAAUUUUUCCCUACACUAGUUUUACUACAUCAUUGAAUUGCAUGGACUAUAUCAUGUCAGACAAACUAUUUAAAUAAUGUACCUUUUUCUUAUAGACUACUCAGUUGGAUGAAAAUAAGGUGAGAGAGUUUCUGUUCUAAGGCUAUCUUUAUAUCUUUCAUUUCUCUAAGAUUUUUUUUUUCUGCUCUCAUCUUAGAGAAACAUUAUAUCGCUCUUAAAUUUAUUACAUUCCAGAUACUAAAGUCAAAUAAAGUAGAAAAGUAGAAAAAUAGAAAAAUUUGCCACAUACUAAUCAAACUACUACUAACUUCAAUAUUCUGAACACUACAAGAGGGUGACAGAACAUUACAGAUGAUGCUCCAAUAUAAAAUUAUUCCAGGAGUAGGCAAAAGCUUUUGUAAUAGAUUAGAUUGAACAACAAUUGGCUUAAGAAAAACUUUUACCAGUCAGGGGAUCUUCUCAAGAAAAAUGAACUUAUAGCCAAGUGGAGUUCCCAAAGUGAAAGGAAUGCAGGGCAAAUCAGGAAGAUAUAUUGCUAAUAAGCAUAUUAUACAAAAUUUUAGGGCAUAUCAGGACACUAAGGACACCAUCAAACAAUAAAAUAGAAUCUUAAGACCUCAAAAAGGUAUGUGUGAAAAUCAUGGCAUUCCUAGAGCGGCACUAAAGAAAAAGUAACAAAUGAUAGUAUACAAAUGAUAGUAUGCAAAUGAUAAUAUGCAAAUUCAUCAGACUAGGAGUCUAAAAUUGCAACUGUCGUGCCAGGGGUUUGGGGGUUCUGUUGUUCUGUUGUCUAAAGAUUUACAGCAAGUCCAUGAAGUCAAACUAUAUAAACAUAAAUAGCUUCUUCCACAGUUUAUCAAUUUAAGUUCAGAUAUCCCAUUUAGAAACUAUAGUUCAAUUGUUCAAAAAAGUAAAGGAAAAACUAUCAGAAGAGCAAAUUCAAUGCAAAUAGAGGACACAAAAUUCAAAACAGUGAUAGAUGAAAUAUCAACACUAACACUUAAACCACAAACUAAAUGACUUCAAGAAAUCCGAAAUAAGUGCAAAAAGAAAAAGGAUAGAAAACUUCAAAAGGUAAUUCCACACAACACAUCUAUUGAAAAAUGGAAAGGAAUAGGAAAUAUGACUCCACAGGGGGGUGAAAAAAAAAAUCCAAUUUUAAACUAGUAGAAAAGUUGUACAUAGAUGGCUCACCAUCUCAAAAGCACCAUGAUUAACUAAUCGGUUUGUUAAUCCAAGGUGGAAAAACGAUUGAAGGGAAUGUCAUGAGAAACAUAAAAACUUAUAAGACUAUCAUGCAAAUAAUUAGAAGGAAUGCAUGCGAGAAAUCAGGAAGCGCACAAUGAAUAUAAAAACUAUGUAUGGUCAUCUAAAGUAACUAACCAGUUAGCAUGUACUACUAUUUAAAUAUGUUAGAAAGAAUAUUAACUAGGCUACAGAUCAUUAGACAAACAUAAAUCCAAGUUACGGGAAAGAAUGCAUACCUGUAAUAGAAGAUGAUUCCCCCUGUUAAUUCCUUGAUCCUUGCACACCCUGAGCACCAGCUUGUUGCUGUUGUUGAAUUUGGAGUAGUAGGCUGGCAGCAAACUGAAGGGUCGACUGAUACCUUUGACUCUUAUCCGCAUCACCAUCUGAAGUGCCGUGACCAGCACCAGAUAUAACAUUUUGCAGCUGCAGCUGAGUACCUUGAGAUGCAAAUUCCAUAUUCACCCUUUCAGUUGGCAUUGGCACAGUACUUUGUGGCUGAAUCAUUGAAGUAGGGUUUAGCUGCUGCUGAACUGGCUGGUUAAAAGAAACUCCAGGUGUGUAGGCUGUUUGUAACAUGCCAUAGCUGCUUUGAGAAGCCAUGGAAGGAUCAGACAAAUAUUGCUGGUUACUCUGCGAGGGUAAAUAUUGUCCAUUUUGGGACGGCAUAACAUAAGUAUUUAACGGUCCCGUAUUGGAAAUAGUAAGAGGUUGUGCUGCAUUCUGAAUUUGUGCACUAUUAAACUGUUGACCAAAAUGCUGAGGGAUAUUACUAACAAAAUGCUGAGGGAUAUUACUAACGGGAUCUAUUGCUUGAUGCCCUUGGCUCCAGCCUUGAAAUGGCAAUGAUGGUGUAUCGUUUACCACAUUAGUAGAAGAUGAAACUACCUUACUAGUGGGGGUUGGUGGCAUGUGAACAUUACCAGCAGCCGAUGGUUGUUUAUUUUCAGGUAUAAGAGAAGCUAAAGUAGCGAUUAGUUCAGGGGUUAAUCCAACUUGAGGUGCAGCAGUAUGACUGCUGUUACUAUGAUCUGGGGGAGCUGAUUGAACACCACGUAAUUCAUCGGGAUGCACGCUCGGAGGCUUUAUAACUCCUGGAGUAUAAGGCAAUGGUAGCUCGAGCGAAGAAGACCUAUUAUAACCAAUUCUAAUAUCUUGCUCUUCAUUCCGAGAGGCAUAAUUAUACCCUUUGUUUAACACAGGUGGAUCAUGGCGAUCAACGUAAUUAGACGAUGAAGGAGCGGACAGUUGAUGGUAAUCUUGCGCCUCAGCGCCUGUUGAUUGCUGGGGAAGGUGCAAAACUACACCAUAAAGACGCUCAGGGCCUUUAACUUUCAACACAUUAGUCAAAAAAUCUGAUGGAGGAACCAAGAACAGUGUUGUUCCAUCGUCCAGUUUUGCGACCCCAGCACGGUUUUUAAGGCCCAGGUAGCGGAGGAAUUCGGUGUAGGAAGCAAAGUCUUCUUCACUAUCUGGUAGAAAGAAGACAAUAUCGAAACCAUUCGCCUCAGCAUAGUGUUUUGUCAGCAUGUCCAAACCCGUUCUGGCUGAGCAAUUAACAACAUCAGAUCUGAGGAGAGGAAAAAAUAAAAACACUAUCAGAAUAAUCACACUUAGAGAACCAACUACUAAAAUCACAUGUCCAUCAAUGAGUUCAGUUCGGUUUUCACUUUAGCUGUUAAAAUCAUCUAAAAACUGUUGUUCAAGUUAUUACAUAUUCAUUUAAUACUGCUUAUUCAGUUCUUGAUAUGCACAACUGAACAAACCAAAUUAUAUAUCAAGUCGAACUUAGUAAACAAAAUUGGCUGCCUUAAUUUUAGUUCACUAAUCUAGUUAGGACCCAUUAGCACAUAUCCCUAACGAAAACGAAGACAAAUAAGUAUAAAGGGGUGAUAUUCAACAUACAAAGGAGAGGUGAUGCCCUUUCCAAUUGGCACACAGCGAGCACAACAAACAUGGGUUCCGCCUUUGGCCAGUAUACCACGCCAGAUGUGGCCGCUAUCUGGGGAUUCACGAACCUCACCACGGACUCGAAUGGGGGGACUCAGAUAUCUUUGACCAAAUGCAGCUCUCUCAAGAAGAGGAAACUCGGAAAGGUCCCCAAAAUCAUCAUCAUCCAUUCUCAACCUUUUUGUUUCUCUCAUGUCCAAUCUAUCCCAUUCACCAGGCAUUGAAUGAAAAGAUGGACGAAGGCUUGUUGGAGAAGGAAGUAUUCCUGGUGCUGACGGGGAUGACCGCAGCCAAAGGGCAGGUCCAGAUUUAUUAGCAUUUGAAUCAGGAAAAUUUGGCAUCACGCCACCAAAUUCAUGGAGCUCAGGACCUCCCUCAUGAGGAUCAAAUCCUUGUGGCGCGAAUGGUUUCAUUGAUAUACUUGAGCCAGGGACACCAUUAGGAAAGGACCCAGAAAAUUUGUUCGGACCCAUUGAACGGCCGGACCCAACCAAGUCCAGAGGCCCAAAAGGGCCUUCAUUGUAAAACAUGUCUUGUCCAGGCCCUCUAAGUGGAGGAAAGGGAGGCAGGAUUUCAUCCUUGAGUCCUGCAAGUUCAUUGCUUGAAUACAGAAUCUGAAUCCUAGGGUCAUUAAAAAGGCGGCCUUGGAGGCCUUCCUUUGCACGCCUAGCUUCAUCGACACUUCUAAAUUCUAUGAAAGAAUAGUGCCUCGACGGGAAACACUUGAUUCUCUCAAUUUCACCAAACAGAAUCAUUGCUCGGUGAAGCAUCUGCUCAUCAAUCUGCACAGAUGGCGGAUAGCUUAUCCAAAGAACAUUGGUAGGGCGGCUGUCUCUUUGUCCUCCAUGAGGCUGAAAAAAAUUGAAAAUAAAAUGUAAAACACCAUGAGAAGCUUUACCAGCAUCCAACACUGCCACAAGUAAAUGAGGAAAAGUAAAAUAAGCUGCAAAAUAUACCAUAUAUUUUCUUGGUCCAUGGUUCACUGAAUCAUAGAAACCCCCUGUCACAUCAGCAGGUCCCAAGCCCCUACUGUUGAAAGGUCCAUUUCUUAAGUCAUGAUCAGGCCAUUCCUGUUCUCAGGAUAAUAACAUGAUAGUAUGAAAAUGUACUACAUACAAUCUACGUUAUGUAAAAGUGGCACACAAAUUCAUCAUGCAAACACACCUUUCUCAUCGGUUGAGAUCUUUGAAAGUCCACACAUAAUUGGUCACCACCUAAACGCUUUCCAUUCAUGUUCUUGUGAGCAGAGAUAGCAUCCUCCAUCUUGUAGUAGUCAAUAAGAGCAGAAUUCCGUUCUCUAAAGAACUUGAACUCUUCAAUCUUUCCAAAUUUCAAAAACUCCUCCUCAACUUUUUCCUUUGUAAUAGAUGAGCUAAUACCUCCAACCCAUAAAUGCCUAACUGCCUUUGCCUGCGUAUAAAAAUCAACUGAUUAACUGCUAGAACCAUAUAAAAUAUAAGCACAUUUAGAUAUCUCAUAGUUAUGCACAAACAGAAUGACAGAGAGCAUUCGGACAACACAUUUUAUGAAAAAUCUUUUCCAAAAGAAAUAGCACAUUCAUAAUUCAGGUAUAAACCAUCCCAAAAAAAUGAAAAAAAAUGUAAAACCAUUUAUUGUGAUUUAGACAUCUGCAGGCAGUGAAUCAUUUGAUCUAGUGUUUGAUGUUUCUCAUAUACAUCGCAUGGAUCAAAUAUAAAAGAAGAAACAGGUCAAUACAAGAUUUGCUUUAAUCAAAUUACAAUUUUUUACUACUAAGGAUUUCUAAUAGAAUAAAAACACAAUGCUCUGCAUGGCUAAUAAAAUACUGCUAUAUUAACCAACCAUCAAUAAAAUUCAACCCAAAUGCAUUUGAAUUCACUGUAGUGCACCAAAAUUGUAGGCCUCAAGAUAACAUUCUUUUCACCUUUUCAUUCACCACCUCUUUCUCGAUGCUCUUGGACGUUUCAUUAUAUCUUUUUUUUUAGGAAACGCCUAAAUUUUCUGUUUUUUCUAACAUCGUUAAUUUCAUAUUUUUCUUCCUAUACAACAAACAAGAUUAAAUCUUACACAAGGAAAUAAACCUCUCAAGAAUUCAACUAACUUUGAACCCCCAACUGCACCAAAACUGCAAGAAUUUGAUCACUAUGAGCUUAAUUAACAUAACAGAAGGCAACAUAAAUUGUUCAAUUAACCUCAUCUAAUCAUAGCCUGUAUACAUAUAAAAAGGUUCAUCAAGAUCCAUUGCAUUCAACGUUUAGGACCAACUAAAAUCGAAAUCAAAUGAAAGAACACAGUUCAAUACUAAAACCUAAUCAGAGAAAACUAAAACCCUAAUCAGAGCAUAAAAUCUAUCCUCGUUAUGUUCCCCGAUCAAAACAAAGAACGACAUAAUCAAGAACACAAACAAAUUUCCUCAUCAAUAUACUCACAAUUCACACCGAACCACGCGAGAGAGAGAGAGAGAGAGAGAGAGAGAGAGAGAGAGAGAGGAACCGGUCGCGAGAAUUGAAUCCUAAUGGCACUCCUGCGGAUGACAGAGCCCCGAAGGGCGUCCAUGGCGGCGCGGGCGGUGUCGGCGCUCCGGAACAUCACGAAGGCAUAGCUCCGCGACCCGGCCUGCAUCGCCACGCAAUCGAGCGCGCCGUGCGCCGCGAACGCGGCCAUGAGAUCGGCGUCGGUGGUGCCCGCCGCGAGGUUCCCCACCCACAGCGUGCUCGUCGGCGUCACCUCGUCCUCCGCCUCACUCGGCUGCUUCUGCUGCUGCUGCUGCGACAUCGCUCGCCCAGCGCCGGCCCUAGACGAUGAGGACCGAGAACUCGAGCAAAAAUGGCAUCAAGGAAUCGAAAUUAGGGUUUGGGAGAGGGAGAAGAGGGUGGAUUGUAGCGAGAUCUCGAGGGGGAGAAAAGGGGAAUUAGAGAGGGGAAGAGGGAGCGAUUUUGGAGAGGAUCGGAUUUGGCGUUGGAAACCCUAGAAAAGGGGGAGUGUUUGGGGGGGGGUGUUCGAUUAAAGCGCUCCUCGCCUCGACGUGAUCGUGCUUUUAUAGUGGUGUGAACUGAGCCGGCCGAAGCUGAACCGAACCAAACGGCCCUCGGACCGGCUUCGCGUGUGUACGGUUUUGUGUAAGGGGCUGUUAAAUGGGUUGGGCCGGACCAUCGGGCCGAGAAUCAAGGUUUUUAUUUAGGUAAUAUUUUUUGAAGGUAAUAUUCCUUUUUGACGGAAAACUUGUAUGGAUACCCCUCAACUAUAGGAUAGCUUGAAAAUAGGACCCUCAACUUCUUUGGUUUUUUAUUGGGACUCUCCCAACUUUUAAUUGUUUAGAAUUAAGUGAUUUUAAUUUUUUUAAAAAAUAGAGAUUUUAUAAAAUAUAUUGGUAACUUCAUCAAAUUUGAUAACUAUUAAUUAUUUUUUAUCAAAUAAAAUUAUGCCAAUUAACAAUUAAUAACAGAUGAAGUCAUUCAAUUUGAUUUUUUUUUUUAACUUUACUAAGCAUAAAAAUUCCAAACGAAAUUAGAUGUUGAGGGGGCCUCAAUAAAAAAAAAAAAAAAAAAAGCAUGGAAAAGUUGAAGGGGCUAUUAAGCUCUCCUAUAGUUGAGGGGUCUUACUUUUCUUUUUUGGGAUCCAUAGGAUUAGUACGACCUAUAUGCCCUUGUUUGGUUGGGGUUAAGGGGUGAAAUAACCCCUUAAUCCCCAUGUUAUUUUCAAAUAUCCUAAAAAAUGGAUGGGGUUAGUAAUUCCAACUCAAAUAAAUUAUUCCGGAUUAGCUAACUCCACCUAACCCUACCAAAUUCCAACCAAACACUAUUUUCUAUUCAUAAUAAUCCACUAUCUUUCUUAUCCCACAUACUCAAAUCAAUCAUUAUCCUUCUUUAUCAAUCGUUAUCUUCUUAUCCCACCUACUCCAACCAAAUACUAUUUUUCAUUAUUCUAAACUAACUUCAACUCCCAACCAAACAAAAAAAAACUUUAACCCCAUUUUAAUCCUAAACUUAACUCUAUCCCUGGAAUAACUACUUUUUUCUUAACCCCGAACCAAACGAAGGUUAAAUAUACUGAACUAGUGAAGACACCAGUACGACGACGCAGUGAAUCACUUCCACACAGAAGCAAAUAAAUAAAAGAAAAUAAAGAAAGAAGAAAUAGGAAGAGUUCAAAAUCAUAAGAAUAAUUAAUUAUUUAUAACAAGAGUAAAAAUAUUUCUAUAGUUUAUAUAAUAUAAUAUAAUAAUAAUAAUAAUAUAAAUAUAUAAAUUUCUAGUUGAGUACAGGUGGCAACGAGGGGGCGCAGAUGCGGGCGGGGCCCAGGGCGCGGGCCGUAAGCGGGCACGGCCGGAAUGCAAAACAACCCAUUAUUAUAAACCAUUAACCUGGCUCCAAAAAUUGGUUCUAUUUCAUGGACCAGUCUCCUCCUCUACUCCGGUCACCUCUACUAAGUCAAUCCACUAAUGUCCACAAAUUUCUUAUCACAAUAAAUUAGAUGGUUGUAUCCACUAAUUGUCCACCAAUUUUUCACAAAUUUUUUUUAUCACAAUAAAUUAGAUGAUUUAGAUGCACGAAUAUACUGUAAAUAGGUGCCUUUUAGUUACCCACUUUGUUUAUUUUUUAUAUUGUGUGAAUGUGCAAAAUUUUUCUAAAUAGUACAAUCUUGAUCUAAAGAGUAUAAAAUUUAUUUUAAAAAAUAUAAUUUUUAUAUCAAAUAGUAUAANNNNNNNNNNNNNNNNNNNNNNNNNUAUAUAUAUAUAUAUUGUCACCACCUCUUUCUUCCUUUCUAUUGCAACCACCGCGACGUCAUCGGAGGCGAUCUCGCCGCCUCUAACGACCUCUUGGCGUUCCGACGCGCGGUGGAGAAGAAAAGCCUAUGCCUUGACGUCGCCGUGUCUUAGUGGAGAAGGAGGGUCGCAGCGUAACCACAGCAUGGCAAGGGUGCAUGGGUGAGGGCGAGGGAGUGCGGGGCAAAGACGAGGCGGGCUGUUUUCAUCUCCGCCUACGAGAGAAAAAAAAAAAAAAAAAAGAGAGGAAAAAUAAUAAAGGUAUUUUGAUUAGUUUGCUGAAAAUCCGAUCCGAAUUUGAAAAAACGAAAAAAGUGGUCCACUUUUGCAAAAGCACAAAACUAAUAAAUUUUUUAUGCAAAUUGGCCUUCUUUUCAUUUGGCGAUAUUUUAACCAACAUUUUUAAAUAUCACGCUGAACUAUCUUAGGACAAUUUUAAGUAUCGUUAAAUAUAAUAAAAAAAACAUCCUCAAAUGGUAAGUUUUUUGCAGUGCAAUCUUAACAAUCCACUUUGUUUAUUAUUAUUAUUUUUUUUUGUAGUGCACGAAUAUUCAGCUACAAAUAAAAGUAGGUGCUUUUAGCUUACUCACUUAAUUAAAAUAUAAAAUAACUAGAUUUUGAAUUUUAUUUUUUUUGUAGUGCAUAAAUAUACAGCUACAAAUAAAACUAAGUGGCUCUUAGUUGCUGAAUCCACUGGAACCGUCUGUUCUUAGCGCAAGUGGCUCUUAGUUUAUUUUUAAAUAAAUAAACAAAACAAAUAGCAUGCUACCUUUUUCUCUCUUAAAAAAAAAAAAAAGAAAAAAAAAAAGAGCUUAUCCACUUAAUUAAAGUAGGUGCUUCGACAUUUUAAAUUUUAGUGACAUUUUGGAGAAGUAUUGCUGUUCUCACACGGUGUACUACUUCCUUACGGCAACUACAGACUUUUCGACUAAGCAUGGAAAUUAGUUUAUCAUCAAUCUAGUUACCAAGAUUGAAUACGAACGAAGAGCUACUGCAGGAUUGCUAUAGCUUUAGCUUUUUCUGGUCUUUUUGAGAAAAAGCUUUUUCUUGUCUUAGUUCGUAGAAUGGAAGGCUUUUUCCAUGCAUUAUUUUUUCUCAUCAUUCUGCUACAUGUGAUCUCCAUCGCCCGGUGCACUGCCGCCGCUGCCGCCGGGAUCAAAGAAGCUGCAUCCGACCGCGCCGCCCUCCUCUCCCUCAAGUCCCUCGUCGAGGACGAUCCGUUCGGAGCGCUCUCCUCGUGGAACAACGGCUCUCUUCACUACUGCAGGUGGCGCGGUGUCUCCUGUGGCCGCCGCCAUCCCAACCGGGUCACGGCCCUCGACCUCACGUCUCUCCGCCUAGCCGGUCUCAUAUCGCCCUCCGUAGCCAACCUCACAUUCAUCCAGAGGAUCGACCUGUCCGACAACAUGCUAGACGGGAGCAUCCCAGAGGAGCUAGGAAGCCUACGCCGGCGGCUGCGAUAUCUCAACCUGAGUGUGAAUUCUCUUCGCGGAACGAUCCCGUCUUCGCUCGGCAAUUGCUCAAAUCUUCAACUACUCAACUUGACAGAUAAUAAGCUCAAUGGUGAGAUCCCGCCGACCCUAUCGCGUCUUUCCGGUCUUAGAAAGCUUAUCCUGCGUUGGAACAUGUUACAAGGAGCAAUCCCUUCCAAUCUAACACUGUGUCAAGAGCUUCAGGUUAUUGAUCUAAGUCAUAACAUUCUCACGGAAGAAAUUCCACCAGAGCUUGGCUAUCUCCAAAAGCUAAGAGGGUUAGCACUCAGCUACAAUAAUCUUACAGGAGCCAUCCCUGCUACUUUGGGCAAUCUUGCUCAGCUUCAAUACCUUUAUCUACAAUUCAAUAGCUUUAUUGGACCCAUCCCAGAUUCAAUUGGCAACCUCUCCUCCCUACAAUUUCUUCUUUUAGAUGAUAAUAGCCUGUCAGGACCCAUGCCUCCAUCCUUUGGUAGCCUUCUCUCCUUGAAGAUACUUGAAAUCGAAUUCGCUGGUCUCACAGGAACCAUUCCGCCCACUCUCACAAAUCUCUCCGCUCUGAACGAGCUUGCACUACGAGGAAACAACCUUCAUGGUGAAAUUCCUCACUUUGCGAAACUUCCAUUCCUCUCUAUCUUGGACUGUGCUGUUAAUUAUCUCUCAGGGACGAUCCCAAUCUCGCUCGGACGACUUUCAUCUCUCCAAUAUCUCAAUCUCGGGAUGAACAACUUAACAGGGGAAAUACCGUCAUCCCUUUACAAUCUAUCAUCCCUGACGGCCUUAGUACUCCCUCAUAACCAACUCAAGGGAACUCUACCCUACGAUAUCGGAAAUGCACUUCCGAACCUUCAAUUGCUUCUUAUGUAUGAGAAUCAGCUCGGGGGGCGAAUUCCGGCAUCCUUGUCCAAUGCUUCUGAGCUCAACAACAUUGAGCUAUCGGUCUAUGCAUUCCACGGCACGAUACCGCCGAGCCUUGGAGCCUUGCAGAGUCUCUCGUGGCUCGAAUUGUUCAGUAAUCUACUCGAAGCCAAAAAGCCUAGUGAUUGGAGCUUCGUUACAGCAUUGAACAACUGCACCAGUCUCCAAGUCUUGGAUCUAGGAGACAAUCUACUUCAAGGCAUGAUGCUCAAAUCAAUAGUCAAUCUUUCCACUAGUCUUAAUAUUUUGGCACUAGAAGACAACCAACUAUCAGGAAUUAUACCUGCUGAGAUUGAGAAGCUCAUCAAUCUAACUGUCCUUGACGUGAGUGGUAACAACCUUCGAGGCACCGUUCCCGUAGAAAUCGGUCAUCUUAGGCAACUACAGCUUUUAGAUCUGUCAAAUAACAUGCUUUCGGGCGAAAUUCCUCCCACUUUGGGCAACCUAACACGAAUGGACAAACUCUAUCUCGACAGCAACGAAUUUGAAGGAGCCAUUCCGCCGACAUUAAGCAACAUGUUAAUGCUAGAGUUGUUAAAUCUAUCAAAUAAUAGGCUAAGCGGUAGCAUUCCGAAAGAAGUUUUGAGCCUUUCGUCGCUCGCGAGCUUCCUUGACUUGUCACAUAAUUUACUAAACGAUUCAUUACCAUUAGAAGUGGGCAACUUGAUAAAUAUCAGGGAGCUUGAUCUCUCAAAUAAUAGGCUCUCUGGUGAGAUUCCAGACACCAUUGGCAAAUGCGCAAUCUUGGAAAUCCUUCAUCUAGCGAAUAACUUAUUUCAAGGGUCCAUUCCUUCUUCCUUGAGCAAUUUAAGAGGGCUCAAGGAGCUUGAUGUCUCAAAAAACUUCUACUCGGGCCAAAUACCCGCAUUCCUUGAUGAGCUCCCAGAUCUACGAAACUUGAAUCUCUCCUUCAACAGUUUUGAGGGUCGAGUGCUGAUGAAAGGGGUUUUUACGAAUGUGAGCGAAGUCUCGCUUAUCGGAAACCCUAAACUCUGUGGCGGAAUUCCAGAAUUACACUUGCCGAAAUGCACUUCAGAUGCCUUUGCAGCAAAACGUCACUCUGAUUAUAAACUCAAGGUAAUACUCAUUCCCAUAGGUGGAGCAAUUUUGUGUUUGAUUAUAAUCAUGUGCUUGCGUGGGAUACAUCACUUGAUAAAAAACUCCCGGAGAAAGCCGAUGUCAAGGUCUUCCUUAAGAAACCGACACACGAAAGUAUCUUACAAUGAGCUCUUCAAGGCUACACAUGGGUUCUCCUCAGAUAAUCUGAUCGGCAUGGGCAGUUUUGGGUCGGUUUAUAAAGCCGCCAUGAACUAUGAAAAUGCCGACAUUGUUGCGGUGAAAGUGUUUAACCUUCAACAGCAUGGGGCUUUCAGGAGUUUUAUGUCUGAAUGUGAGGCCUUGAGAAGCAUUCGACAUCGAAAUAUUGUCAAAAUUCUUACAUCAUGCUCUAGUUUGGAUCACCACGGUAACGAUUUCAAGGCCUUGGUUUUUGAGUACAUGCCUAAUGGGAGCUUAGAAGAGUGGCUACAUCCAAAUGCACGCGGGAAUAGGCCAUUCAGAAGCCUAAGCCUAAUCCAGAGGUUGAACAUAGCCAUCGACGUAGCCUCGGCAUUAGAGUAUCUUCAUCACCGAGGGUCUGUGCCGAUUGUUCACUGUGAUCUUAAGCUGAGUAACAUCCUUCUAGACAACGAAAUGACAGCGCACGUGAGCGAUUUUGGGUUAGCAAAGUUUCUGCGGCAACCGCCUGAUGAAUCAUCUCGGUGUUCAUCUACCGGCACUGUGGGGAUCAAAGGAUCUAUUGGUUAUGUUCCUCCAGGUGUGAAAUAUGCAAUGGAAUGCUAACUUUUUUCUUGCUUUACACCAUUUCAGAAAAAAAAUAUAACACAUUUUUAUUUGAUUCCUAACUACAUCCAAUAUUUUUUGCUGCUCACUAUCUUUUGAAGCAAAAACAAGUGAAUAGCAUAAGUUUAAUAAAUAAUAUGAUAAAUUGAGUGUAUUAAUUAGUAGAAAAGGGGAAAAAAAUAUUGUAGGAAACAAAAAGGAUACUACAUUUUAGCCACGAAAACUGACAUACUAGAGUUAGAAUUAACAGCUCGAUGCUUACUACUAAAAACUAAUUACUUAUGAUCACUAAACACGCAAGAGCUGGAACUUUAUUUCUACAUAUCUGAUGCUAUUUUAGAGUCAAUUUAUAAACUAAAAGAUCAAACUUAGUUUUUGUAACUAUGGCUUGGAAACAAUAGGAACCAAAUCCAAACCCAAAUGAAUUCACCUGACAAUCUUGUAUUAUCUGUUUCCAACUAACUAAUGUUGUGCAGAGUAUGGAAUGGGCUGUAAACCGUCUAGGCUCGAUGUGUACAGCUAUGGAAUUCUUCUGCUGGAGAUGUUCACUGGAAUGAGCCCCGUCGACGACAAGUUCAAAGACGGACUGAGCCUUCGUGGAUAUGUUCGUGCUGCUGCUGCUGCUUCUCCUGAACAUGUCAUGGACAUCGUAGACAGAAACCUGCACUCAGCUGAUAAUGAUAUAGCUUAUCGAGAAGAGCGUGUGCGAGAUUGCGUAGUUUCGGUGUUCGACUGCGGUCUCUCGUGCUCGAACGAAUCGCCAUACGAACGAUGCGACAUGACAAAAGUCUUAAAGGAGCUGAGUGCAGCAAGAGAGAGGUUUCUUAGGUAAAAGAAGUUUUGCUCCCUAUGCUAUGGUUCUCACUAGAGGCAAAUGAAUGCUGGUUUGAUCAUCCUCUGCUUUUCCUUAUUUUACAUUUAAAAAAUAACUUUGUGUCAUGCAAAUGCCUAGUCCUUAUGGUUUUGAUCACUCCUUUCUAAAAUGAAUACAACCAAAAGGAGACAAGCACUUCAAAAUUUGCAUCUGUAUACAUUAAUAGCUUCAAAUUCCUAAUUUCUGGCUCAAGUUUAUAACUGACGCCUAAUGAAAACACUUUUAAACAGAAAGCUCCAACCCCCUUUUUUUUUUUUUUUGAGGAAACAGGGGUAUACCCUAUUUAGACAGGAAUGGAAAGGGUUACAAAAAGUCGAAGAUAAAAGGCUAGCUACAGCCCGGAUCAACAAAAGGGUCGAAACACUGACCGAAACACAAACACGAUCAGCACCUACACCCAGACUUUACAAGACAGAAGAAAGUUGCUGGUGACCUCAAGUAAUAAUAGCGUUUCCAAUUACCAAUCAUUCCCUCAUCCUCUUAGCUCUGAUGUCCACAGAUUUACCAAGUUAUGAACUCUACUUGCCGUAUCAUCCGUUCGCGUAGGUCGGUCUUCAAAUAUGCGCCUGUUUCACUCUUUCCAUAUUUCCCAACAUGCUGCAGUAAAAUAAAGAUCAAACCAUUUCUUUUGCCUCCCUCCGACAGAACUCCUUGGAUGAUCCCAUCGAUCAGGUAAAUCACCUGGGUGUGUAUUUAUCGAGAGUUGGGCUGCCGGAGUUGUUUGUAGGAGCUGAGCCCACACCGUCAUCGCAGGAUGUGUUCAAGGUUUUCACCAUUCGUAGAGCAUAGAGCGCAAAUCGGCGGACCGUGCCAGCCCUUUUUAGUUAAGGUAUCAUCUGUCAAUACUCUAUUUCUCGCCGCAAGCCACAUGAAGAUUUUAACUCGCAGGGGGAUCUUGAUCUUCCAAAUAAAAGAAAUUCUGCAAGCAUCUAGGCCAUCAAAGCUAAGAAAAAAAAUUCUGAAAGCAUCUAUGCCAUCAAAGCUAAGAAAAUAAAAGAAAUUCUGAAAGCUCCAACCCUAUUUAGAAUGGUAUAUAUACAAAUUUUGGAUUUUUUUUUUCCCCCUUUUUAAUUAUAGAUAGCGUAGGGUGUAUAUACCUGCUACUAUCCUUCUAAGACAACACAGUUCUUUAUCCUAUUAAGUUGUUUCUUUCCAAUGGUGAUAGGACAUUUGGAUCAACAAUCUGCACUGAUAAAUAUGAUUUUGGGCAUUGUAAGUGAACCAAAUUUUCUGAUUUUUAAAGAUUAUUUUAUGGUUCACAACAUUCUGAAAAUGAAUUAUGGGAUUCAUCAAUUUAAGAUCAAAGGUAUGCACCUUGAUCUAUAUAGUUUAAAUUAUUUUCAAACAAAAAUUCAAGCAAUGUAGACUCAAGUUGUCGAUUUUGAGAUGCUUCAAUCAGUACAUGAUGUCAGGAAAUAAUUGAAUUUUAGUUCCCAGAGAGAGUUUACUUUGAACGAAAUCCCAAUUCAAUAAACUGAAAUAACCCCAACAAAAUAAAUAAAGUUUAGAAGGUGUCUAUUGAAAAGGAACAAUGAAAUUGAGGGUCCUAUUUUACAUGGCCUGUAGUUGCGGUGACUCCAUGCAUGUUUACCUAAAAUUAGCACAAAAUAGAGAUCUUAAGAGACCAAACAUUACAUCCAGAUGGACUGCAAAUUAAGUAAACAGUAAACGCUUCAAGGAAAAUUUUAUUAUGACCAGCAAAACUUUUUCAUGCAAAUUUUUUCUUUUCCUUUUUCAACAUUAAUCGAAACAUAAUUUACUUGUACCAUUUUCUUUUUUUCUUUUUAGCUCAAGUGAGAAGUUUACAUGUGUACCCGAGAUAUAUAUAUAUAUAUAUAGCUCCCAACCUGUAAUAAGAGAUUAAAGAAAGGAUUAUGUUAGAGAGGGAACCGGCAGCCCACCAAAGCUCCCUCACUGACGGCCACGGGAAGCGGCCCGACGACACAUUUUCCGGCUAUGGUGAUGACGGCCCCUUCAAUGGUGGCGGGGGUGGCGGCGGAGGGGGGAGGUGCGCUCAAUUCAUCAGCUCGGGGACAGAGAUCGCUAAAUAUAGAGAAAAGAAGAGUUCAAAAAAGAAAAAAAACAAAUUGAGAGAGGGAGAGAUCUCUAAAUAUAGAGUAAAGAAGAGUUAAAAAAAAAAGAAAAAAAGAAAAAAAACAAAUUGAGAGAGGGAGGAGGUAGAGGGCAAAUGCGUAGGAAGGCGAAGCAUCACAGCAGGUGGGGUGAGUGGACAGAAAUGCAAAUUGUCACGGCAGGGAGGUAGAGGGCAAAUGGGUAGGAAGGCGAAGCAUCACAGCAGCAGGUGGGUGAGUGGACAGAAAUGCAAAUUGUCACGGCAGGUGCUGAGCGGGCAGGUAUGCAAAGCGUCAAAGCAGGUGUGCCAGCGGAAAAAUUCUACAAUGCAACGGGUAUAUUAAUGACGUGGUGAUGUAUAACAAAUCAAUUAAAUAUUUUCUUUUAGAGAUAUAUAUUCUAUCAUAAUUAUAAAAAAAUAUUUUUAUUGUACUUUUAUUUGAAAAGAAGGAAUGCGAUUGACUUGCUAUUAAUGAUGUGGUGCAAGUAUGAUAGUGUAGAAUUCCUCGUGCGAGCGGGCAGCUAUGCGAAGCGUGACGCAUGCCACGUUAGAUUAGUAAAUCAGUUUUUAUAUAUUACUAGUGUAGUUACCCGCGCGAUGCAACGGGUAGACACUAUCGAAACAAUCAUUAUUUCUAUAAACUAAUUAAUAUUAGUUUAAAUGGCCGGCAAAAAUUGGUAAAAAACUAUUAAAGAUGACAUUUUCAUACUUAUUAACUCAAUAAUCUAUAUAAUCAAACUCAAUAGUUUAGUAAAAAAAAAAGAUUAUAAGAAAAGCCAAAUACAAAAUUUACAAUUUGAUUACACAUAACAACUCAAAUAAAAAAAAUUGUUACAAGUUCAAGCGAGUGUUAAUUAAAAAUUAAAUAAAAUUGAGGGCCUAUUUCAAAUGGCUAUAGAGGAUCUCUCGGUAAAUAUUUUUACCAAUUCUUUUUUAAUAUUUAAAAAAAAGCCAAGCAAAGCCAAACCUGCACAUCUCCGGACCCAAUUGUUGCCCUUAUGCCUGGCGAAAUCUUGAUGAGUGAAUGAGCCCUAAAACCCCACAGAAGUGAACACCUCAUGAGCAUCUACUACAAACCAAUUUGAAUUAUAACAGAGAUGUGUAACUUGAGUUACCUCUAACAUGUAUGUAACAUUCUCAAAUCCUAGAAAUAUAUAUAUAAAUAAUUAAACACAACAACACCUGAGCAGAAGCAAAUACCCUAUAACAUAAGACCAUGAAUAAUAAGUUGUGAUUUUUCAAAACCAACCUCUAUGAGGGUGAUUAGGAAACCCAGCGGGAGUAGAAACUGCAACAAAACAAAUUGUAAUUCAAGCGAAAAAAAAAAACCUGACUUAAAAAGAAAAAAAACAGUUGAGAAAAAUCAAGCAAAAUUUGAAAGAAUUUAAUGAUAAAAAUUCUAAAUUUUUUAUCCAAAUCGGAAAAAAAAAAAAGGUUUUCACAUCUUUCUAGAAACCAAAAUAUCUUCAAACUUAUCCAGGAGAAGGAAAGGAUCCAAGCUUCUCAGCUCAGGCCUGCAAAUCACAUAAACCCCAUCAAAUUAACACCCAAAAUAGAAAAACCAAAAGGUACAUAUAUAAAAAAAAAGAAUGAAUUCAUGAAAAUGACUUUUUUUUCUUUCACAAGAAGUAAUUGAUUCAUCUGAAAGUUCGAUCUCAGUCAGUCAAUGAAUUACAAACUUUUAUGUGAAUUAUCUUCCAAUGCUUCUCCUCACGGUGGCGUCUUGUCCAUAAAAAAAAAAAAUAGCAAAAUAAUAAAAGAAUGAAAUGGUGACUAUGAAAAGACAAAAACGUAUUCAAAGAGUAAUAAAUUAUGAUUAUAAUUACCAUUAAUUGAUGAACGUUAAUGUAGAUUACCAUUAAUUCAUGAAACGUUAACGGAUAUACCGGAGAGGAGAGGGGAGGGGAAGGGUGGGCGAGAUGAAGAGAUGCCUAAUACGGUGAGAAUUAAAGGAGAGAGAAUUAAUACGUUAUUGGGGAUUAAUAGAAUAGGUAUAGAUAUAGAUUAUCUAUCUAUUAAUCUAAGAAUAAAGGGUUUCUUGCCACGUGGCAAGAAACAUUGUGGAUUCGUUAUGUUUAAUAGAUAUUAUAUUACUAGUGUAGUGAACUGUGCGAUGCGACGAAUAGAUAAUUAGAGAAAUAAUAAAAAAACAGUGACAAAAAGAAGAUGAGACAAUGAUGGAAGAAGCGACGAUAAGGAAUGAAAUUCAUCUUGUAAACGAUAGCCGAAGGAAGUGGAAGAAGAACAAUUCGGCCCAAUGCAGAAUUGCGAUCCGGUUUGGUUCAAGCAAAAAAAAAAAGAAAAACAUAAUUUGAUUCAAGUAAAGAAAGAGAAGAAUAUGUGGAUGACUUGAGUCGGUUCAGGGGAGCCCGCUCUGAAUAAUGAAUGAUUUGGUUUAAGUAAAUAAAAAGAAAAAUUCGGUUUGGUUCAAACAAAGAAAGAGAUAAAUAUAUAGAGAAUUUGAGCCGGUUUGGGGUGGAGCCCACACCCAACAAUGAAGUGAAUAUUGCAAUGUGGCAAAUUUAGGAAGAAUAAUACAUAGAAGUAGAUAGAUAUAGAUAUAGAUAGAGAGAAUUGCAUUGGAAUACUAUUAAUAGUAUCUGUGCUCUUUUGCUAUCGAGUUUUUAACACUUAUAAAUGAAAAAUUAUAGGGUUAGGAUGAUGGUGGUCUCCCAGGAUUUACUUGUGGUCUCCCUAAAGUUGAGAUAGUGGUUGGUUAAAUAGUAUGAUCUAAAAGAUAUAAUUGAUAAAAUUGUAGAUUUAACGAUUAAAAAAUUAAUAGCAAAAAAAGCCAAAUACUAUUAAUAAUAUUCCAGCUCCACUCUAGAUAUAGAUUACUAGUAUAGAACCCGUACUUCACUGCAGAUAAAUAAAUUAUGGUUAGUUGAUAGUAGUUUUUUGGAAGUGUUUUAAUAAAUCAAAAGAUGUUAUUAAAUAGACACUUUUUUAAAAAAUAUAAGCAAAACUAAUGUAAAGACUAACAAACUUUUAGAUGAAAUAAUUACAUAUAAGGGAUAAUUGCAUAUAUACCUCUCAAAACUUUGCAAAUAUCUUAUUUACCCCUAUUUUUUAUUUCUUUCCAAUAUACCCUCUAUAUGUUUCUCCGUUAUUUCAAAAUAUCCAUGCAGUUACCACCCGUUAAGUUAACUUGGGUUAAACGUGAGUUAAAUAUCUACCACAGUUAAAAAAAAUUAAAAUGCCACUUUUGUUCUUAAAUUAAGGACAAAUAAGAAAGGUUCGUGAUAGUAGAAGGGUAUAUUUGAAAAGACCAAAAAGUAAAAUACUUUUUGUGCCCCUAAUUUAAGAACAAAUAAGAAAAGUCACUGAUGGUAGAAGGGUAUAUUUGAAAGGGCAAAAUAGUAAAAAAAAAUCAAAAUACCUUUUUUGCUGUGAUGCUCAAAGGGUAUAUUUGAAAGGGCAAAAAGUCAAAAUAGUUUUUUUGCCCCUAGCCUAAGGCAAAUAAGAAAAGUCGGUAAUAAUGGAAAGAUAAAUUCGAAAAGAUAAAAUAAUAAUUUUACAGAGAUACCGGUUAUUUAUAACAACUUACUAACAGAACUUAAAACGUUAAAAACAUAUUUUCUUCAUUAGCCUUCUAUAGAGGUAUAUAAGAAAGUUUUAAACUUUUCAGUGCUAUGUUAGCAAUUGCCCCAAAAAAUUAUACGGUUUAUUGAAAUACCUAGCUAGCAGCGCCAAUUUCUAAUAGGAAAAAAAAAAGUACAAACACUUUCUAAACUUUAGAGCAUUUGGCAAAUAGAUUCCUCAGUUUUCAAUUUUGACAGCUAGACACCUUAAGCAUUCUAAAAUAAUUCAAUAUAUAACUCCCUCCCUAUAUAUGAAAAUGUCCGUAUGUCAACAAAUUUCUUGCAUAUGAUCUUGUGAAGCUUCAAAAUAUAUUAAAAUCUGCCUUUUUUUAUUCUAAAACUUGAGUAAAGCAAUUAAUUAAAAUGAAAGAUAGAUUUAGUUUGUAUAUUCUUCAAUCCUUAUAUUGUAGUUUUAUCACCAAAAGAGAAGAAAUAGGUUUUUCUUUUGUGUUUUUUAAACCUUGCAAGAAUCACAUCUCUAAAAUAUGCUAUCAAAAUGGCUUUUUAAUUAGUAUUUUUUUUCUUCAGAAAAUUGACCAAUUAAACUAUUUGAUUAUUUUAUAAGAUCUAGUUGCUAAAUUAAAAAUUAGAAGAUCAUUUGACAAUAGUUUAUAGUUUAGGAGUUUUUGUGUAUUUAUCCCUUUCAAUUUUAAUAUGUCUAUACGUAAAAAUGUACGGCGAUACCGUCGUAUAGGCCAUUUUGAAACUUGUUCCCUCCAUCUACAAUCUAUAAUUUAUAAUCUAUAAUCUAUAAUCUAUCUAUAAUCUAUAAUCUAUAACUAUAUAUUAUUUCUCAAUAACUGCACACGUGUCGCGAGAAGGCCGAGGCUCGGGUGAGGGCACGGGGCGUGGGCUGCGGUGGGUGAUGGCGCGGGUGUGGUGCGGGCACGGUGCGGGCCCCGGCUCGGGGGCGGGCUCCGGCGCUGGCGCCACGGGGCGAGGGCUUCGGCCGCUUGGUGCUGGCCUGGCGGGCGCGCGCAAGCCGGCGCGGGGGUGGGUUCGGCGCUUGGCGCCGUGGGCGAGGGGGGCGCGUGAGGGGCCGGGGCGCUGCGCGGGGGUCGUGGCGCGGCGUCCGAGCGGUGUCUCUCGCGGAGCCGAAAAAAAAUCGCGGCUCUUGGUGUGGUGGGUUGCACGGGUCCACAGGCCAAGUGGCCUUGUGGACGCUAAUGAGAAGAGGUCACGGUGGACCUCCUCUCAUUCUCCUCUCUCUCUCUCUCACUCUCUCUCUAUAUAUAUAUAAUUUUAUUAUAUAAUAAUAUAUAUAUAUAAUAAAUUUAUUUAUAAAUAUUAUAUAUUUAUGUAUUAAUAUAGUAUUAUAUAUAUAUAUAUAUUUAUUUAUAAAAUAUAAUUUAUUUAUAUAUAGUAUUUAUUUUAUAUAGAUAUAUUAUUAUAUAAUAAUUUAUUAUAUAUUUACUAUUUAUUUUUAUAAAUGUAAAUAUAUAAAUAAAUGUUAAAUAUUUUAGACUAUUGUAUUAGAUAUAUUUAUUUCAUUAAUACUUGCAAAAAUUUUUUCACUAACUGCUUGGGGGGACUACGAUGCUUAUAAAAAUUAUUUCUUAUUAAUAGGAAAGUAUACUGUAUUUUAUUUAAAAUUAUUUCGUAAUUUGUCCGUAAUAUUUCAUAAUUAUUCUAAAAUUAAUUUUUAUAACUAAUUUUCAAAAUUAAAUUUUAAAAUAACUAACCGCAGCAUGAUUUCUCUUCUCAUUCACUAAUUACUCGGGGACUACAAUACCUACUAAAAUUAUUUCAUUAACUAAUGGGGGACUACUAUGCCUACUAAAAUUUUUUUAUGUACUUAUUGCACCAUUUAAAUUCUGAAAUUAAUUUUUAUAAUUAAUUUUUAAAAUUAAAUUUUAAAAUAACUAUCCGCAGCAUCGGACGGUUCCCUUAACUAGUUUUAUUUUAUUUGGAUUGAGACAGGCCUUCACUAUUGAUUUUUUGAGAAGCGAUAUUUCUGUUCUUGUAAGGGCAUCUGUGUAAAUACAUGCCUUUAGAAGGGCAGUGAGGAAUUUCUCCUUUUAAAAAAAACUUAAAGAGGGUAAUUUCAAAAUACCCUAUAGUUGAGGGGGUCUCCAUACACUUUAACCUAUAAAUGAGGGCUUUUUUUUACAUUUAGCCCCCUUUUAAUUUGUUUUUUUCACAAAUAGCCCUACGAAAUUUAUAAUUACAAAAUUGGCUCAUUCCCGCAAUGCAAGCACCAUACCAGCGGCUAUGAAAGAUUAAGUUAAACACGAUAAAUGAUUCACCGUAUUUAAACACGGUAAACCAUUCAUCGUAUUUGGACGGACUAAACAGUAGCUAACCCAGUAGUGCAAAAAAACUCAAACAACACUGCAGUACAUUUUAGUUUAAACACGGUGAACCAUUCACCGUGUCUAAAUACAGUGAAUGGUUCACCGUGUUUAACUUAUGCCAGCCAGCCGUUAACGUGGCGCUUACUAGGGGUAGAAACGAGCCGAGCUCGAGCGAGCUUAUGUCAGCUCAAAUUCGGCUUGAAAUUAAUUUCGAGCCUAAAUCUAGGCUCAAGCUCGGCUUAUAUAUUAACUCGAGAAUAUGAAAAUUUUCAUGGUUCAGUAAACACGAACAUUCAAAAAUCGGGAACCUAAUUAUCUACACGCCAAUCCUACUACACCCGGGGGAACCUAACUCACCCACCAACCAACUUAUCAUAUUAGAUUGCCCACUUUUACUAGUUUCCGCAUCUAGAUUGCCAUUUUUUAAGUGUUCGUGGUUCACGAGCCAUGAAAAUGUUCGUGGUAUCGGCCUGAUAUAUAUAUAUAUAUAUAUCCCAAAUCCCAAAUCCAUAAAUAUUUAUAUUUUAUAAAUAUUUAUAUUACAUAAAAUUAAUAUAUAUCCGAAAUUAAAUUAAACCCGGUAAUAACAACCGGGUAUUUUAUUUUGGUUGUUCAUGUUGGCACGUUAACUCGGGUUGAGAUUUAAAUGUAUUGUGUGAGAGAGAAACUCUAAAAGUGACAACGUGUAUUAGGAUUUUGUACUAUUGUAAGUUUAAGGGUUUAGGGAUUAAAAAAAGAGGGGGGAGAGAGAGAGAGAGAGAGAGAGAAAGAGAGAGAGAGAGAGAGAGAGUCUGGGAGUGGGUCAGUCCGUCAGUGGGAACGAGUGUAAAGAACGUUAAUAAAACAUAAAACUUGAUAACCUGUACAACGUAGUUUAAUAUUCAUUACAAGAUAUUUUUAAUUUGAUAACUAAUAUAUUACAGCUUUUAAAGUUAACCGAGCAAAUCUCGAGCUCGAGCCGAGCUGAGCUUUAAUCCGAGUGAGUUCGAGCCGAGCUUAAUUAAAAUNAGCUCGAGCGAGCCGAAUAUCGAGCCGAACACGAGUCGAACGCGAGCCGGCUCGCUCGUUUGCCAGCCCUAGCGCUUACGUGGCAGAAAUAUGACUAGUUUUAAAAUUAUAAAUUUUAUAAGGGUAUUUAUAAAAAAAAAAUUGUGAAUGGGCUAAACGCAUAAAAAAUCUUAUAAACCAUUAACCUGGCUCCAAUAAUAAUUCGUUCUAUUUCAUGGACUAGUAUUCUCCUCCACUCCGGUCACCUCUACUAAGUCAAUCCACUAAUUUCCACAAAUUUCUUUAUCACAAUAAAUUAGAUGGUCGGAUCCACUAAUUGUCCACCAAUUUUCACAAACUCCUUUAUCACAAUAAAUUCCUUUAUCACAAAUUCCUUUAUCACAAUAAAUUUGAUGGUUUAGGUGCCUUUAGUUAUCCACUUUGUUUAUUUUUUAUAUUAUUCGAAUGUGCAGUUACAAUUAUAUGGCACUAUAAAAAAAAUCUCAAAAUAAAAAUGCUUUUUAAACGACAUUUAAAAAGUUGUUCUUCAAGCGUCCCUACAAUACAGCAAAUAUCGACGUUUCAAAAACCGUCAUUAUAUGAAUCCUCUAUUGUAUCAAACUAAUUUAUUAGAAUAUAAAUUUAUUAUUAUUUUUAAUUUUUUGACGCUUUAAAUAUUAGGGUUUCAAAAAUUCUUAAAAGUCCUGUCGUUUUAAAACGUCGGAAUAUAUUUUACCGACGCUUAACAUUAGCAUCGGUAUAUACAUGACGACUCUUCAUUUCGCGAUAUUUAACCAACGCUUUUUUUUUUGAGAGAGAGAUAGAUAGCACGCUACCUGCUUCGUUUAUUUUAUUUAGGAAUAAACUUAGCUGAAAAUGUGAAUCAACUAAUAUUCGAAUUUGGGUCUCGGGUACCAACUACUAAGCCCUUUGCCACUAGUUCUAGGAACGGUCAGUCAACGCUUCUAAAUAUCAUGCUGAACUAUCUUAGGACAAGUUUAAGUAUCGUUUAAUAUAAUAAAAAAAAGUCCUCAAAUGGUAAGUCUCUUGCAGUGCAGUCUUAACUAUUCACUUAGUUUAUUUUUUUAUAGUGCACGAAUAUACAGCUACAAAUAAAAGUAGGUGCUUUUAGCUUAUCCACUUAAUUAAAAAAUAAAAUAACUAGAGUUUGAUUUUUUUUUUUUUUUUUUCGUAGUGCAAGAAUAUACAACUGCAAAUAAAAAUAGGUGCUUUUGGCGUAUCCACUUAAUUAAAGUAGGUGCUUUGACAUUUUCAAUUUUAGUGACAUUUUGGAGAAGUAUUGCUCUACUAGGAACACAAGUAUUCUCACACGGUGUGUUACUACCUUACGGCAACUACAGACUUUUUGACUAAGCAUGGAAGUUACUUUGUUAUCUAUCCAGUUGUCAAGAUUAAUAAAUACCAACGAAGAGCUACUGCAGGAUUGCGAUAGCUUUAGCUUUCUCUUGUCUUAGUCCGUAGAAUGGAAGGCUUUUUCCAUGCACUAUUUUUUCUCAUCAUUCUACUACAUGUGAUCUCCACCGCCCGGUGCACUGCCGCCGCCGCCGCCGCCGCCGCCGCCGGGAUCAAACAAGCUGCAUCUGACCGCGCCGCCCUCCUCUCCUUCAAGUCCCUCGUCGACGACGCUCCGUUCGGAGCGCUCUCCUCGUGGAACAACGGCUCUCUUCACUACUGCAGGUGGCGCGGUGUCUCCUGCGGCCGCCGCCAUCCCAACCGGGCCACGGCCCUAGACCUCAAGUCUCUCCGCCUAGCCGGUCUCAUAUCGCCCUCCGUAGCCAACCUCACAUUCAUCCAGACGAUCGACCUGUCCGACAACAUGCUAGACGGGAGCAUCCCGGAGGAGCUAGGAAGCCUACGCCGGCUGCGAUAUCUCAACCUGAGUGUGAAUUCUCUUAGCGGAACGAUCCCGUCUUCGCUCGGCAAUUGCUCUAAUCUUCGACUACUCAACUUGAGAGGUGAUAAUCUCAACGGCGAGAUCCCGCCAACUCUAUCACGUCUUUCCGAUCUUCAAGUGCUUCUCCUGAAUCAAAACAUGUUACAAGGGACAAUCCCAGAUUCACUUGGGAAUCUUUCUUCUCUACUCAUUCUUUCUUUAGACGAUAACAGCCUGUCAGGAGCCAUGCCUCCAUCCUUCGGUAGCCUUCUCUCCUUAGAGAGACUUGAAAUCCUAUUCACUAAUCUCACGGGAACCAUUCCGCCCACUCUCACAAAUCUCUCCGCUAUGAACACACUUGCGCUACGAAGAAACAACCUUCACGGUGAAAUUCCUCACUUUACAAAGCUUCCAUUCCUCUCUUACCUGGACUGCGGUUAUAAUCAUCUCUCUGGGACGAUCCCAAUCUCGCUUGGACGACUUUCAUCUCUCGAAUAUCUCCUUCUCGGGAUGAACAACUGAACAGGGGAAAUACCGUCAUCCCUUUACAAUCUAUCAUCCUUGAACACCUUAGAACUCUUUUAUAAUCACUUGAGGGAACUCUACCCUCCGAUAUCGGAAAUACUCUUCCAAACCUUCAAGUCCUUCGUAUGUAUGGUAAUCAGCUCGGGGGGCAAAUUCCAGCAUCCUUGUCCAAUGCUUCUGAGCUUUACGACCUUGAGCUAUCACUCAAUGCAUUCCAUGGCACGAUACCGCAGAGCCUUGGAGCCCUGCAGAGCCUCUUGCGGCUCACACUGGCCUUCAAUCGACUCGAAGCCAGGAAUCCUAGUGAUUGGAGCUUCAUUACGGCACUCACCAACUGCACCAGUCUCCAAGCAUUGGAUCUAAGAAACAAUCUACUUCAAGGCAUGAUGCCCAAAUCACUGGUCAAUCUUUCCACUAGUCUUUAUAUUUUGGCACUCGGAAACAACCACAUAUCAGGAAUCAUACCUAGAGAGAUUGAGAAUUUCAUCAAUCUAACUGUUCUCGACAUGAGUGUUAACGAUCUUCGAGGCACCAUUCCGGUAGAAAUCAGUCAUCUUUGGCAGUUACAGUACUUGGAUCUGUCCAACAACAUGCUCUCGGGCGAAAUUCCACCCACUUUGGGCAAUCUAACACGAAUGGACCUGCUCUAUCUUGGCAGCAAUGAAUUUGAAGGAGCCAUUCCGCCGACAAUAAGCAACAUGUUAGUGCUAGAGUCGUUAAAUCUAUCAAAUAAUACGCUAAGCGGUAGCAUUCCAAGAGAAGUUUUGAGCCUUUCGUCGCUCGCAAGCUUCCUUGACUUGUCGCAUAAUUUACUGAACGGUUCAUUACCGUUAGAAGUGGGCAACUUGAUCAAUAUUGGGGAGCUUGAUCUCUCAAAUAACAGGCUCUCUGGUGAGACUCCAGACACCAUUGGCAAAUGCGCCAUCUUGGAAAUUCUUCAUUUAGAGAACAACUUAUUUCAAGGGUCCAUUCCUACCUCCAUUGGCAUUUUAAGUGGGCUUAAGGAGCUUGAUCUCUCAAAAAACUUCUACUCGGGCCAAAUACCCGCAUUCCUUGAUGAGCUCCCGGAUCUACAAUACUUGAAUCUUUCCUUCAACAAUUUUGAGGGUCGAGUGCCGAUGAAAGGGGUUUUUAAGAAUGCCAGCGAAGUCUCGCUUAUCGGAAACCCUAAACUCUGCGGUGGAAUACCAGAAUUACACUUGCCCAAAUGCACUUCAGAUGCCUUUGCAGCAAAACAUCACUCUGAUUAUAAACUCAAGGCAAUACUCAUUCCUAUCUGUGGAGCAAUUUUAUGUUUGAUCAUAAUCAUGUGCUUGAUUGGGAGACAACACUUGAUAAAAAACUCACGGAGAAAGCCGCUGUCGAGGUUUUCCUUAAGAAACCGACACGUGAAAGUAUCAUAUGAUGAGCUCUUUAGGGCUACAAAUAGGUUCUCCUCAGAUAAUCUGAUCGGCACGGGAAGUUUUAGGUCGGUUUAUAAAGAGGCCAUGAACUAUGAAAACGGCGACAUCGUUGCAGUGAAAGUGCUUAACCUUUGAUAGCAUGGGGCUCUCAGGAGUUUUAUGUCUGAAUGUGAGGCCCUGAGAAGCAUUCGACAUCGAAAUCUUGUCAAAAUUCUUACAUCGUGCUCUAGUUUGGAUCACUGCAGUAAUGAUUUCAAGGCCUUGGUUUUUGAGUACAUGCCUAAUGGGAGCUUAGAAGAGUGGCUACAUCCAAAUGCACACCGGAAUAGGCCAUUUAGAAGCCUAAGCCUAAUCCAGAGGUUGAACAUAGCUGUCGACGUAGCCUCGGCAUUAGAGUAUCUUCAUCACGGAGGGUCUGUGCCGAUUGUUCACUGUGAUCUUAAGCCCAGCAACGUCCUUCUCGACAGUGAAAUGACGGCGCAUGUGGGUGAUUUCGGGUUAGCAAAGUUUCUGCGGCAACUACCUGACGAAUCAUCUGAGUGUUCAUGUACGAGCACUGUGGGAAUCAAAGGAUCAAUUGGUUAUGUUCCUCCAGGUGAGAAAUAUGCAAUAAAAUGCUAACUUUUUUUUUUCAUGCUUUACAGAAUUUUAGAAAAAAAAUAUAACACAUCUUUAUUUGAUUCCUAACUAUGCUACAUCUGAUAUUUUUUUGCUGCUCACUAUCUAUUGAAGCAAAAACAAGUGAAUAGUAAAGUUUAAUAAAUAAAAUUAGAAAGUCAGUGCACAAAUUGGUAGAAAGGAGAAAAAAAAAAAAAACUCUAGGAAACUGCUUGAUGCUUACUACUAACAACUGAUUAAUUAUGAUCACUAAACAUGCAAGAGCUGGAAUUUUAUUUCUACAUAUCUAAUGCUGCCUUAGAGUCAAUUUAUAAACUGAAAGAUCAAAUUUAGAUUUUGUAACUAUGGCUUGGAAACUGUGGUAGCCAAAUCCAAAUCCAAAUGAAUUCACCUGACAAUCUUGUAUUGUCUGUUUGCAAUUAAAAUAUGUUGUGCAGAGUAUGGAAUGGGCUGUAGACCAUCUAGGCUCGACGAUGCGUACAGCUACGGAAUUCUUCUGCUGGAAAUGUUCACUGGAAUGAGCCCCGUCGAUGACAAGUUCAAAGACGGACUGAGCCUUCGUGGAUAUGUUCGUGCUGCUGCUGCUUCACCUCAACAUGUCACGGACAUCAUAGACAGAAACCUGCAUUCAGCUGAUAAUGUUAAAGGUUAUCGAGAAGAGUGUGUGCGAGAUUGUGUAGUUUCGGUGUUCAACUGCGGUCUCGCGUGCUCGAAUGAAUCGCCAUACGAACGAUGCGACAUGACGAAAGUUGCAAAGGAGCUGAGUGCAGCAAGAGAGAGGCUUCUUAGCUAAAAGCAGUUUUGCUCCCUAUGCUACAGUUCUCACUAGAGGCAAAUGAAUGCAUGUUUGAACAUUCUCUGCUUUUCCUUCCUUGCAUUCUAAAGAAAAACCUUGUGUAAUGAAUAUGCCUAGUCCUUAUGGUUUUGAUCAUUCCUUUCUAGAAUGAAUAUAACCAAAAGGAUAUAAGCACUUCAAAUUUUGCAUCUGUAUACAUUAUUAAUAGAUUCAAAUUCCUAAUUUCUCGCUCAAGUUAAUAAAUGAAGCCUAAUAUAACCCGUCAUUGCCAAAUCUGUGUUGAAUACACUUUUCAACAGAAAGCUCGAAGCCUAUUUAGAAGGGGUAUAUGUACAAAUUUUGGAUUUUAAGCACGAACUACAGAACGGUCAUAAAUGGUAUGACAGAAGGAGAAUAUUGACCAAGAAAAAGAGGCAUUUACAUUCAAACAAAGUAUCAAAUACAAAAGCAAGAAUCCAAUGAAAGGGACCACGAACACCGAAAACACAACCAUCACCCGAAGUAUAUAUUUGACAUUCGAAAAAGAACACCAGAUACAUACUUAUACCACGCAUUCUAAAUUUUGUUUACUUUAGAGGUGCAAGCAAAUCGCUUUUUCUUUCUCAAAAUAGGAUCACUGGCCAACUGCUCGGUUAUGGAAAAACUUCUUGAUCCAAACUUGCCAACCAAGUAUCUGAAAGAUAAUCAGACAUAAAUUUUGGAAGUAACGAGAAAGAGUCCCUUGGCGAUACUAUAGUAUAGACUUCUUUACUUUGGCUGUAGUUUCUGCAGAAGUGCUAUCUCAGUUGAUCUUUUUGAAGGAGCACUAACAGCUUUUCCAGUAAAUCAUCCUAAUAUAUUUUUACUAUUGCAGAAGUGGAAGCUUCAAAUUGGACCCACAAAUUUUGCAGCCUAGAAGCUCAUUAUUGCUAUCUCCAAUAACAAGCUUCAGGGUCUGACUGCUGUUUCACGGGUUAGAGAAGCAGAGCCAAAGCCAGACCAAAUAAACACAAGAUAAGGCAUGAAGAACUACAUUAACAAUAGGGGAAAAUGAUUUGUGCCAAUAUAUGUGUAUGUUGUUACAUUUUAUUAUUAAUUAGUGAAGUUACAACUUCACUUGCAUUUAAUUAAACAUUUUAAACCUAGACUUUUGCACCUACAUCAAAUGAGAUUAACGUUAGUGGCAUUUACUUUGCAAAGCUUACACUAAAUAUCUUGUAACCUAUGGGUUUUAAACACUAGCAACAUAUAUUUUCAUCUCUCAUAACGUAUAGUCCUAAGGUGCUAUAAAUAGAUGGCUUGUUUUAUGCACUUAAACAGGCCAUAACAAAACAUAAUAACCAAAACUACAAUUCUACUUGAGAGAGAGAAGGUCAAAGAAAGGUGUUUCUUUUGGUGGAGCUUUGGGCUCAUCUACUUGUGCAGAGUUGGUGAAGCCACAUGACGAGGGUCGAGCCGUUGUAUCUUGGAGGGGACAAGUCGGUGCUCUGCUGCAUCGGUUCAAAGGCUUUGCCAACCGUAGAGGGCUUGAAUCUCCUUAAAGAGAGCGAGAUAUCCGUGCCUCGGCUUGAUCGACUCGUUAACAUUUUUUAAAUUACUUUGUAGCUAACCUCUAUUUUUUGAAUAUUUACACCAACAGUGUAGAACCAAAUAAAAUAGCAUAGUAUCUUUUUUGCAUUUUGAGCAUAUGCAAUUAGUAUGAAACACUCAACUAGUAUAAAAUUCUACGACCAACUACAAGAGAGUUCUUGUAUAAGAAUUGUUCGUAUAUGUAGAAGAAAAUUUAUGUGAAAACUUUAUCAAAGAUAUAUAAUUAACCAGUACAUAAACAUAGCUGAUCAUGGAUGAGUUUGCUAAGAGAAGUUUUUGAACCUUAUAGGAAUGGUGGGACUGAUUGACCGUACACGAAAUCAUGAGAAUAUGACUGCCAUAAUAACUACAUAAUUGGUAGAAAGACCGAAAGAUAGAUGAAUUAUCAAACCUCAAAUCAGUAAUUGCAUGAAUACCUCUCUAUACAUGGAAGAUUAAAUCGACAACAGAAGCAGCAACGAACGGAAGUAUGCCACAAAGAUGAUGCAUUUUAAUUUCCAAGUUCGCGGCGAGAGAAAUGGAGGACCAGUCAUCAUCAACCCUGGGGAAUAUAUUUCGUCAAGAAGCAUGAUAGUUUACUGACAAAUUUUUUCUUUAAUGCUUCAAAUUUUGACUGAAGCAGUUGCAAUUAGACUGUCGACUUCCUCUUCAUACUGUUCAUAGACAAUGAAGAUGAUGAUGAACAUGCAUGUCAACCCUGCAAUAUAAGCAAGAACUAAUUAUUACAGGAAAAGGUACAAGUAUGGAGAUAAGAAAAAUAAUGUUUGGAUGAAAAUUGGAUUAUUUCCGGGGAUAAGAAAAUAGCAUUUGGAUAGAUAAUAUGGAAUAAGAAAAAUAGCUGGUAAUUUUAUAUAGAAAAUGAUGGUGUUGGUGUGAAUAGUUAUACCCUGUUAUUAUAGGUAACAGAGAACUACUGUUCUCGGAUAAAAAAUUAGCGUUUGGUAUAAAGGGGAUAAGGGGUUAUCUUUAUCCCCCUAUCCCCUAUCCAAACGGUCUGUUUAUCCCACCUUUUUUUGGUUUUUAGUAAUUUUUUUAAAAAAUGACAAGAUUUUAGGGAAAAGAUAUCUUUUAGAUUAAGUCAAAGUGGUGGGCUUGUAACACAAAAGUGGGUUGAAUGUAUAGUGACACAUACAUAUACGUAGGGAGGUAAUGUGGGCCGUGCUGGGCUGGUACGGCCCAGAUUUUCCGGGCAUUCUGGGCCAAGGAUCGGCCCGGGCCGUGCCGGGCCGUGGCAGGCAGUUUAGGUAGAGCAGUAGAUCCGGCCCGGCCCCUGUCCUGUCCAGCACAGGCCGUGUAGGGCCGGGCCGGGCUUCGUGCCAGCCCAGAUUUUUUCAAAAAUAUAUAUUCAUCCAGUUUCUUUUUUUUAAGAAAUUAUUUUUCAGAAAAAGAGAUAGUUUUUUUUAAAUUAUAAAUUUGGCUUAUAACUUUUACUUUACACAAUUAUACCCAACUUUUUGAAAACUAUUUUAUUAAAUAUUUUUAAUAAUUUUUUAUUAUUUGAAGAGAAAUUUAUCUUUAAAAAAAUAAUUACAAAAAAUAUAUAAAGUUUGUAUUAAUCAUAUUACAUAAAGUUUGUAUUUUUUUAUUUUUUUGUAGUAAAGAUAUUAAAAUUUUUAAAAUCGUUUUAUAAAGUUUGUAUUAAUCAUAUUACAUAAAGUUUGUAUUUUUUUAUUUUUUUGUAAAAAAGAGUUUAAAUAUAACCUUUUGACUUAUAGUUUUUAAUUUACAUAAUAAUACCCAGCCUUUAUAAAACGAUUUUAAAAAUUUUAAUAUCUUUACAUAAUGUUUAAAUAUCUUUUUUAAUUUUUUAAUCCAUUUUUUUAAAAAAAUAGUAAUAGAAUAUUGUUUCAUAGAAUUUUUUUUUUUUUUUUCUCACUGCCCUUCUUCUAAAGGCAUGUAUUUAUGCUUCGUUUGGGAUUGCGCAGAGAUUGCGUUAUGUGCGGUGAGAAAGUACGUUGGAAAAAUAUCCUGUUUGUUUCCGUACAUAAUAUUGCGUUCCGCAUAUCACGAUGAAUUGAUUACGAUAUAUUUUCUACAGUCCUACCGGAGAACGCAGAAGCAUAUCCCUACCCUAUAUGCUUUUUCUCCAACUCCAUUUUAUCUAAUAGCGUUUAAUAGGCCGCAAUACCAAACUAAGACUUAGACAGAUGCCCUUAUGAGAACAGAAAUAUCACUUUUUAAAAACUCAAUAGCCUAUAUACCCCUCAUACGGAACAAAUGUCAAAAUGGCCUAUAUGGUGGAAUCUCCAUACAUUUUUACGUAUAAACGUAUUAAAAUUGGAAGAGAAAAAUGCAUAAAAACUUUAAACUAUUGUCAAAUGACCCUCUAAUUUUUAAUUUAGCAACUAGAUCAGUAGAUCUUCUAAAAUAAUCAAAUAGUUUAGUCACUCAAUUAUCUCAAGAAAAGCUACUAAUUAAAAAGCCAUUUUGGCAGCAUAUUUUACAGAUAUGAUCUUGCAAAGUUUCAAAACACAAAAGAAAAACCUAUUUCUUCUCCUUUGGUGAUAAAACUAAAAUACAACAAUUGAAGAAUAUACAAACAAAAUCCAUCCUUCACUUUAAUUAAUUGCUUUUCUCGAGUGUUAGAAUAAAAAAGGUAGAUUUUAAUAUAUUUUGAAGCUUCACACGAUCACAUGCAAGAAAUUUGUUGAAAACAGACAUUUAAUUAGUAACUUUCGUAUAUAGGAAGGGAGGCAUUGAAUUAUUUUAUAAUGUUUAAGAUAUCUAGUAGUCAAAAUGCCAAAGCUCCUAGGGCCCCAUUUGGUUCGGGGGAUAAGCGGGGAUAACGAAAGUUAUCCCCGCUAUUCCGCCAAACAGGAUCAUUUUUUACCCGGAUAUUUUAUCCCGGUCAAAGCUUGCUAUUUCCGGUUACCCAGAAUAGCAAGCUUUUUACUAUUCCACCAUUUUGGUGGAAUAGUGCUAUUCUCAUGCUUAAUUUCAAACUUAAUUAAAAUUAUAAAAUAAAUUAAAACUAAAGUUUAGAAAGUGUUUGUACUUUUUUUUUUCCCUACAAGAAAUGAUUGCUGCUAGCUAUUUCAAUAAACCAUAUAAUUUUUAGGGGCAAUUGCUAACUAUUAUCUCGAUAAAAUUACUAUUUUAUCCUUUCAAAGUUUUCCUUCUAACGUUACCAACUUGUCUUAUUUGCCUUUGGAUAGAGGCAAAAAACUAUUUUGACUUUUUUUUCCUUUCAAACAUAUCCUUCUAUUGUCAUCAGCAAAAGAGCUACUUUGACCUUUUAAUUCUGAUAGAAAUUUAAUUCAAGAUGACUUAACGGAAACUAACAGAAAUGUAUUUUUGAAUAAUAAAGAAAUAUACAAAAGAUAUAUUUAAAACCAAAAAAGUAGGAAUAUAUAACAUAUUUCAGAAGUUUUAGAGGGUAUAUAGAUAAUUAUUCCUAAUUUUUAGAUAAAAGAAAAGGUGUGGUGCGAUGAGUUCUGCCGCUUCUUUUAUUUUUUUUAGAAAUAAAUUUAGCUAAAAAUAUGAAAUAAGUAGGCUCCUAAUUUGGGACCUCGAAAAUAACACCCUCAAUUAUACUUAUAUUUUUUGGGAUUCAAAGCUCCUCCAUGUCUUAUUUUUUUAUUUGAGUUUUCAUACUAAGCUAAACUAAAAAUUUUAUCAAAUUUAAUAACUGUUUUAUUUAUUAACCACCAAAUCCGUAGGUGAAACACUUUGUCCCACAUAAUAUUUAGCUCUCACACUAUAUUUCCAGCUGGUAUUCGACUUUGAUAUCAAUUAUAACGACCCAAUCCGCCAGCAAUCAAUUAUAGCAACCCGACCCGUGCCAAAACCACCGGCCUAAAAUAUUUAAGCCUAGUUAUUAUUAUUAGCGUGUAGGUCUCAUAUAUUCUAAUCAGAAUCAGUUUCUCACCGGAUGUGGGACUAUUGGGCGUUACAAAGAUUACUUAAUUUUAAUAAAAGUGGAAGGGUCUAAAUCCAAAAUAAUAAAAAUUGAGGAAGCAAUUUCAGAAUUGCUUGUAGUUGAGUGUGUUAAUGUACUUUCAACCCACUUUGAGUUACAAGCCCACAACUUUUGAGUUAAUCUAAAAGAUAUCUUUUCCCUACAAUCUCGUCAUUUUUUUUUUUAAAUUGCUAAAAACCCAAAAAAAAGGUGGGAUAAACUCAAAGACCAUCGAGUAUGAUCUAUUUCCGAUUUUAAUUCACGCAGUCGAUUGCUUCUAUAUGUAUUCCCAAGUUGCUGUUCCGUUUCUCACUCGCAACAUUGAUUGGAGUUUGUAAGGUUUUGACCUAAAAAUCUUGUUAAUUAAUUUCCAGAUAAUAGUGCUCUGUUUUAUCUUUUUCAACUUUCUCACCGCAUCUUUUAUAUUGCAGGGUUGACAUGCAUGUUCAUCAUCUUCACUGUCUAUGAACAGUGUGAAGAGGAAGUCGACAGUCUAAUUGCAACAGCUUCAGUCAGAAUUGAAGCAAUAAAGAAAAAAUUUGUCAGUAAACUAUUAUGCUUCUUGACGAAAUAUAUUCCCCAGAGUUGAUGAUGACUGAUCCACCAUUUCUCUCACUGCGAACUUGGAAAUUAAAAUGCGUCAUCUUUGUGACAUACCUUCUUUCGUUGCGGCUUCUGUUGUCGAUUCAAUCUUCCAUGUAUGGAGAGGUAUUCAUGCAAUUACUGAUUUGAGGUUUGAUAAUUCAGCUAUCUUUCGAUCUUUCUACUAAUUAUGUAGUUAUUGUGGUAGUCUCACUCUCAUGAUUUCAUGUAAUUACAAGAAUAAAUAACAUUGUGAUAUGUUCUGCCAUUCUCAUGCAUAUAUUUCAACAUCAGUAGCAAAUUCAUCCAUCAGCUAUGUUUUUGUACUGGUUAAUUAUAUAUCUUUGAUAAAGUUUUCACAUAAAUUUUCUUCUGCAUAUACGAACAAUUCUUAUACAAGAACUCACUUGUAGUUGGUAUGAGAAUUUUAUACUAAUUGAGUAUUUCAUACUAAUUGCAUAUGGUCAAAAUGAAAAAAAGAUACUAUGCUAUUUUAUUUGGUUCUACACAUAUAUUGGCACAAAUCAUUUUCCCCUAUUGUUAAUGUAGUUCUUCAUGCCUUAUCUUGUGUUUAUUUGGUCUGGCUUUGGCUCUGCUUCUCUAACCCCUGAAACAGCAGUCAGACCCUCAAGCUUGCUAUUGGAGAUAGCUAUAAUGAGCUUCUAGGCUGCAAAAUUUGUGGGUCCAAUUUGAAGCUUCCGCUUCUGCUAUAGUAAAAAUAUAUUAGGAUGAUUUACUCGAAAAGUUGUUAGUGCUCCUUCAAAAAGAUCAACUAAGAUAGCACUUCUGCGGAAACUACAACCGAAGCAAAAAGGUCUAUACUAUAGUAUCGCCAAGGGACUCUUUCUCAUGACUUCCAAAAUUUAUGUUUGAUUACCUUUCAGAUACUUGGUUGACAAAUUUGGAUCAAGAAGUUUUUCCAUAACCGAGCAGUUGGCCGAUGAUCCUAUUUUGAGAAAGAAAAAGCGAUUUGCUUGCACCUCAAAAGUAAACAAAAGUUAGAGUGCGUGGUAUAGGUAUGUAUUUGGUGUUCUUUUUCGAAUGUCAAAUACUUUGGGUGAUGGUUGUGUUUUUCGGUGUUUGUGGUUCCUUGCAUUGGAUUCUUGCUUUUGUAUGUGAUGCUUUGUUUGAAUGUAAAUGGCUCUUUUUCUUGGUCAAUAUUCUCCUUCUGUCAUACCAUUUAUGAUCUUUCUGUAGUUUGCGCUUAAAAUCCAGAAUUUGUACAUAUACCCUUCUAAAUAGGCUUGGAGCUUUCUGUUGAAAAGUGUAUGCAACGCAGAUUUGGCAAUGUCGGGUUAUAUUACGCUUCAUUAUUUAACUUGAGCCAGAAAUUAGGAAUUUGAAGCUAUUAAUGUAUACAGAUGCAAAAUUUGAAGUGCGUAUCUCCUUUCGGAUGUACUCAUUUUAGAAAGGAGUGAUCAAAACCAUAAGGACUAGGCAUUUUUAUUACACAAGGUUUUUAUUUAAUGCAAAUAAGGAAAAGCAGAGGAUGUUCAAACAUACAUUCAUUUGCCUCUAGUAAGAACUGUAGCAUAGGGAGCAAAACUGCUUUUAGCUAAGAAGCCUCUCUCUUGCUGCACUCAGCUCCUUUGAGACUUUCGUCAUGUCGCAUCGUUCGUACGGCGAUUCGUUCGAACAUGAGAGACCGCAGUCAAACACUGAAACUAUGCAAUCUCGCACACACUCUUCUCGAUAAGCUAUAUCAUUAUCAGCUGAGUGCAGGUUUCUGUCUAUGAUGUCCAUGAGAUGUUCAGGAGAACCAGCAGCAGCACGAACAUAUCCACGAAGGCUCAGUCCAUCUUUGAACUUGUCGUCGACGGGGCUCAUUCCAGUGAACAUUUCUAGCAGAAGAAUUCCGUAGCUGUAUACAUCGCCGAGCCUAGAUGGUUUACAGCCCAUUCCAUACUCUGCACAACAUUAGUUAAUUGGAAAUAGAAGAUACAAGAUUCUCAAGUGAAUUCAUUUGGAUUUGGAUUUGGCUCCUACUGCUUCCGAGCCAUAGUUACAAAAACAAAAUUUGAUCUUUUAGAUUAUUUAUAUUGAUUCAAAAAUAGCAUUAGAUAUGUAGAAAUGAAGUUCCAGCUCUUGCGAGUUUACUGAUUAUAAUUAAUCAGUGGUUAGUAGUAAGCAUCAAGCAGUUUAUUCUAACUCCAGUAUGUCUGUUUUUGUAGCUAAUAUGUAGUAUCCUUUUUGUUUCCUACAAUAUUUUUUUUUCCCCUUUUCUAUAACUUUUACACAAUCUCUAAUUUUGUUUAUUAAACUUGUGCUAUUCACUUGAUUUUGCUUCAAAAGAUAGUGAGCAGCAAAAAGUAUUAGAUAUAGUGUAGUUAGGAAUCAAAUAGAGAUGUAUUAUAUUUUGUUUUUUUUUCUGAAAUGCUGUAAAGCAUGAAUAAAGUUAGCAUUUUAUUGCAUAUUUCUCACCUGGAGGAACAUAACCAAUAGAUCCUUUGAUUCCCACAGUGCUAGUAGAUGAACGCUCUGAUGAUUCGUCAGGCGGCUGCCGCAGAAACUUUGCUAACCCGAAAUCGCCCACGUGCGCCGUUAUUUCAUUGUCGAGAAGGACGUUGCUGGGCUUAAGAUCACAGUGAACAAUCGGCACGGACCCUCGGUGAUGAAGAUACUCUAAUGCCGAAGCUACGUCGAUGGCUAUGUUCAACCUCUGGAUUAGGCUUAGACUUCUGAAUGGUCUAUUCCCGCGUGCAUUUGGAUGUAGCCACUCUUCUAAGCUCCCAUUAGGCAUGUACUCAAAAACCAAGGCCUUGAAAUCGUUACCGCGGUGAUCCAAACUAGAGCACGAUGUAAGAAUUUUGACAAGAUUUCGGUGUCGAAUGCUUCUCAGGGCCUCACAUUCAGACAUAAAACUUCGGAAAGCCCCAUGCUGUUGAAGGUUAAGCACUUUCACCGCAACGAUGUCAGCGUUUUCAUAGUUCAUAGCGGCUUUAUAAACCGACCCAAAACUUCCCGUGCCGAUCAGAUUAUUUGAGGAGAACCCAUUUGUAGCCCUGAAGAGCUCAUCGUAAGAUACUUUCAUGUGUCGGUUUCUUAAGGAAAACCUCGACAACGGCUUUCUCUGUGAGUUUUUUAUCAAGUGAUGUAUCCCAAGCAAGCACAUGAUUAUAAUCAAACAUAAAAUUGCUCCACAGAUAGGAAUGAGUAUUACCUUGAGUUUAUAAUCAGAGUGAUGUUUUGCUGCAAAGGCAUUUGAAGUGCAUUUCGGUAAGUGUAAUUCUGGAAUUCCGCCGCAGAGUUUACUAUUUCCGAUAAGCGAGACUUCGCUCGCAUUCUUAAAGACCCCUUUCAUCGGCACUCGACCCUCAAAACUGUUGAAGGAGAGAUUCAAGUUUCGUAGAUCUGGGAGCUCAUCAAGAAAUGCGGGUAUUUGGCCCGAGUAGAAGUUUUUUGAGAGAUCAAGCUCCUUAAGCCCUCUUAAAUUGCUAAUGGAGGAAGGAAUGGACCCUCGAAAUAAGUUAUUCUCUAAAUGAAGAAUUUCCAAGAUGGUGCAUUUGCCGAUGGCAUUUGGAAUCUCACCAGAGAGCCUAUUAUUUGAGAGAUCAAGCUCCCUGACAUUUAUCAAGUUGCCCACUUCUGAAGGUAAUGAAUCGUUCAGUAAAUUAUACGACAAGUCGAGGAAGUUUGCGAGCGAUGAAAUGCUCAAAACUUCUUUUGGAAUGCUUCCACUUAGCCUAUUAUUCGAUAGAUUUAACAACUCCAGCAUUAACAUGCUGCUUAAUGUCGGCGGAAUGGCUCCUUCAAAUUCAUUGCUGCUGAGAAACAGCUUGUCCAUUCGUAUUAGGUUGCCCAAAGUGAGAGGAAUUUCACCUGAGAGCAUGUUGUUCGACAGAUCCAAGUACUGUAAUUGCCAAAGAUGACUGAUUUCUAUGGGAAUGGUGCCUUGAAAAUCGUUAAUGCUCAUAUCAAGAUGAGUUAGAUUGAUGAGCUUCUCAAUCUCAGCAGGUAAAAUUCCUGAUAUUUGGUUGUUAUUGAGUGCCAAAUAAUUAAGACUAGUGGAAAGAUUGCCUAUUGAUUUGGGGAUCGUGCCUUGAAGUAGAUUGUCUCCUAGAUCCAACCCUUGGAGACUGGUGCAGUUGGUCAGUGCUGUAAUGAAGCUCCAAUCACUAGGCUUUCUGGCUUUGAGUCGAUUGCCAGGCAGUUCAAGCCACAAAAGACUCUGCAAGGCUCCAAGGCUCGGCGGUAUCGUGCCGUGGAAUGCAUUUAUCCCUAGCUCAAGGUCGUUGAGCUCAGAAGCAUUGGACAAGGAUGCCGGAAUUUGCCCCCUGAGCUGAUUAUAAUUCAUAAGAAAGACUUGAAGGUUCGGAAGAACAUUUCCGAUAUCGGAGGGUAGAGUUCCCUCGAGUUCAUUAUAAGAGAGUUCUAUGUCCUUCAGGGAUGAUAGAUUGUAAAGGGAUGAUGGUAUCUCUCCUGUUAAGUAGUUCCCAUUGAGAAAGAGAUAUUCGAGAGAUGAAAGUCGUCCAAACGAGAUUGGGAUCGACCCGGCGAGAUAAUUAAGAGAGCAGUCCAGAUAAGAGACGAACGGAAGUUCUGCAAAGUGAGGAAUUUCACCAUGUAGGUUGUUUCCUUGUAGUAAAAGCUGGCUCAAAAAGGAGAGGUUCGUAAGAGUUGACGGAAUGGUUCCUGUGAGACUAGUGAAUUGGAUUUCAAGUAUGUUCAAGGAGAGAAGGCUACCUAAGGAUGGAGGCAUGGCUCCUGACAAGUUAUUGUUAUCUAAAGCAAGAACUAGUAGGGAGGAGAGGUUGCCGAGUGAAUCUGGGAUGGACCCAGUAAAGCUAUUGAAUUUUAGAUCAAGGUAUUGAAGCUGAGCAAGAUUGCCCAAAGUAGCAGGGAUGGCUCCUGUAAGAUUAUUGUAGCCUAGAGUUAACCAUGUUAACUUUUGGAGAUAGCCAAGCUCUGGUGGAAUUCCCUCUAUGAGAAAGUUACUCCUCAGAUCGAAAACCUGAAGCUCUUUACACUGAGUUAGAUUGGAAGGGAUUGUUCCUUGUAACAUGUUCCACCUCAGGAAAAGCUUUCUAAGACUGGAAAGAUGCGAUAGAGUUCGCGGGAUCUCACCGUUGAGCUUAUUAUGUCUCAAGUUGAGCAGUUGAAGAUUAGAGCAAUUGCCGAGCGAAGACGGGAUCGUUCCGCGAAGAGAAUUCACACUCAGAUUGAGAUAUCGCAGCCUGCGUAGGCUUCCUAACUCCUCGGGGAUGCUCCCCUCUAGUUUGUUGUCAGACAGGUCGAUCCUCUGGAGGAAUGUGAGGUUGGCUAUGGAGGGCGUUAUGAAACCGGCCAGGCCGAGAGACAUGAGGUUGAGGGCCGUCACCCGGUCGGGAUGGCGGCGGCCGCAAGAGACACCGCGCCACCUGCAGUGGUGGAGAGAGCCGUUGUUCCACGAGGAGAGUGCUCCAAACGGAUCGUCGUCGACGAGGGACUUGAAGGAGAGGAGGGCGGCGCGGUCGGAUGCGGCUUGUUUGAUCCCGGCGGCAGCGGCGCACCAGGCGUUGGAGGUCACAUACAGCAGAAUGAUGAGAAAAAAUAGUGCACGGAAGCUUUCCAUUCUAUGAACUAAGACAAGAGAAUGCUAAACCUAUAGCAAUCCUGCAGUUGCUCUUCGUUGGUAUUUAUUAAUCUUGGUAACUGGAUACAAAACAAACUAACGACCAAGCUUAGUCAAAAAGCCUAUAGUUGCCGUAAGGUAGUAAUACAAUGGCGUGUGGAUACUUUUGUACUAGUGCUUUAAUACUUCCGCAAAAUGUCACUAAGAGUGCGUUUGGUUCAGGUUAUCCUGACAGGAUUACAAGCAAUUCUGUCAGGAUUGUUAUAUUUAGUUUAUCGGAUAUGUACUCUGUUCGGUAUUGUAGCAUUACAAAAAAUGUAUAAUAUAUUACACCAAAAAUAUUACCGAAGGGGUGUGUAUUUUGGAUUACUGAAGGCGGCUAAUAUUUUUGCCGCCGCCGCCGUCCGCUCCCACAGCAUGAAGAGGAAGAGGAAGAUGAAGAGGGCAAGGGCAAAAUAGUCGUUUCACAGUUCUACUGUUAAAAAAUUAACAGUUCUCUAACAGAUCCAAAUUACGUAUUUGAAUAUAUUAUGGUUUUUGCAGGAAUAACUUAUAAAAAUUGAAAUUUACAGAAAUAUACUUGCUAUUCACCAUAUUUGUAGGGACCUGUAUGAAAUUAAUCCUAAUUUAUUGUGAAAUUUGUGGAAAUUGGUGUGGAUUGACUUAGUAGGGGUGAGUCGGGUGACUGAAGUAAACGAUAAGAGUAGUCGACGCAAUAGAACAAUUAUUGAAGGUAAUUUAUUUAUAGGUAAAAAGUGUAUGGAGACCCCCUCAACUAUACGUUUUUCUGAAAGAGCCCUCAUAACUUUUUUUUUACCCUUUUUCAAAAAGGAAAUUUCCUCACUUCCCUUCUAAAGGCAUGUAUUUACACACAUGCCCUUAUAAGGAAAAAAAAUAUCACUUUUUAACAAAAAAAAAUCAAUAGUAAAGAGGUUUCUCAGUCCAAAUAAAAGAAAAAUGGAGGGAACAAAUUUCAGAAUGGCCUAUACGACGGGAUCUCCAUACAUUUUUACCUAUGGAGGUAUUAAACUUGGAAGGGAUAAAUGCAUAAAAACUACUAAACUUUAAAAUAUUGUCAAAUGACCCUCUAAUUUAAUUUAGCAACUAGAUCUUCUAAAAUAAUCAAAUAGUUUAAUUGAUCAACUUUCUCAAGAAAAGCCAUUUUGGUAGCACAUUUUGCAGAUCUAAUCUUGCAAAUUUUCAAAAACACACAAAAAAAACUAUUUCUUCUCUUUUCGUGAUAAAAUUAAAAUACGAAGAUUGAAGAAUAUACAAACUAAAUCCAUCCUUCAUUUCAAUUUAUUGCUUUUCCCAAUUCAGCAUUAGAAUAAAAAAACGCAGAUUUUAAUACAAUUUGAAGCUUCACCAGAUCACAUGCAAGAAAUUUGUUGAAAAUGGGCAUUUAAUUAGUAACUUUCAAAUAUAGGAAGGGAGUCAUUGAAUUAUUUAAUAAUGUUUAAGGUGUGUAAUUGUCAAAAUUAAAAACUCAUGAAUCUAUUUGCCAAAGCUCAAAAGUUUAGAAAGUGUUUGUACUUUUUUAAAUAUUAGAAAUGAGUGCUGCUAGGUAUUUUAAUAAACCAUAUAAUUUUUAAGGGCAAUUGCUAAUAUAAAUUUGAAAAGUUUCAGAGUUUCUUAUUUACUCCUUUAGAAGGCUAAAAUAAAAAAUAUUCUUUUAAUGUUUCAAGUUUUUUCAAAUAUAUCUCUCAAGUUAAAUUCUGAUAGUGAGCUGUCAGUAUAACUGUUAUUUCUAUAAAAUUAUCAUUUUAUUCUUUCAAAUUUAUCCUUGUACCAUCAUCAACUUUCAAGUUGCUGGGCUAGGGUCCAAAAACUUUGGCCCGGCACAGCACGGCCUGACUUUGGGGCCGGGCCGUGCCGGGCUUGUCUCCGGCUGGUUUCGGCACGGGAAAUGUGGGCCGUACCGGCCCGGCACGGCCCACAUUACACCCCUACGUACAGGGGUGUAAACAAGCCGAACACGAGCGAGCUGAGGUCAGCUUGUGUUCAGCUCAUGUUCGGCUUUUUUAUUAAACGAGCUGAACACGAGCCGGCUCGUUAAAGUAAUCUUGAGCCGAAAAUUCAUCUCGUAUUCGGCUCGUUUAUUAACGAGGCGAACACGAGCUAGCUCACGAGCUGGCAAACGAAUAUAAAUUAAAAAAAAUUAAAUUUAAAUAUAUAAAAAUAAAUUUAUAAAAUUUUAUCAUUAGACUUUGAUCUAAUAGUUGAAACUUUACAUAUAAAAUGAGUUUUUUAUAAUUAAGCUUGCAUUUAUAUUUUUAUUUUGCUAAAAAUUAAUAAUAAAAAAAUAUAUUAUAUAUAAUUAUUUAUUUAUAUAUAAAAAUAUAAAUUAUAUAAAUAUUAAAUAUAUAUAUUCGAGCUGUUAUCGAGCCGAACAUGAGCGAGCUUAUCUCAGCUCGUGUUCGGCUCAUUUAUUAAACUAGCUCGCGAACAGCGAGCUAGAUUGCCACCCCUACCUACGUAUACACCCCUAAAAGGGAUGCAUGUUAUGGGCGACACAUUCUAGAGUCGGAUGGUUUGUAUUUAUGGCAUUGAUGCGACAAGUAGAAUACGUGUUUGUCUAUCAUACACUCCUAAAACCGAGUAUAUGUGUAGCAUCACUUAUAAAUUAAUUAACAUCCAAUAAUUCGUCCUAUUUCAUGGACUAGUCUCCUCCGUUACUCGGUCAUCUCUACUAAGUCAAUCCACUAAUUUCUUUAUUACAAUAAAUUAGGUGGUUGUAUCCACUAAUUGUCCAUCAAUUUUCACAAAUUUCUUUAUCACAAUAAAUUAGAUUAUUGUAUGAUGCCGUGCAUGAAUAUGCGUUAGUAAGUGCAUUUAGUUAUCCACUUUGUUCAUUUUUUAUAAUGCAUGAGCGAAUGUGCGGCUGCAAUUAGACGACACUGUAAAAUAAUAUGAAGAUUAUUUUUAAAUAACAUUUGAGUAGACGUCUCCCAACGUCCCUAUAAUAUAGAAUGUAUUGACGUUUCAAAAAAUGCCGUUAUUAUAUCAAACUAAUUUAUUAGAUGAUAAACUUUAAUUAUUAAUUUUAACUUUUUUAUGCUUUAAAGCAAUUUGAUUUCAAAAAAUUCUUAAAAAUUCUGAUACUUUAAGACGUACAUAGUAAUAUUUUAACCAACGCUUUUAAAUAUCAGGCGAUUUUAAAUAGGAUGAUUUUAUGCAUUGUUAAAUAUAAAAAAAAUUGUUCUUAAAUAUUAAUUUUCUUAGUGUGUGGUCUUAGUUAUCUAUUUUGUUUAUUUUAUUUUUACAGUGCAUGAACAUACAGAGCUACAAGUAAGACUAGAUGCAUUUAGCUAUAUAUUUAGGUAAAAUAUAAAAUAAUUGGUUUUCGAACUUAGAAACUCGAUACCAAUUAUUAAGGUUUUCGCCAAUUGCCGUUAGUGACAUUUUGGGGAAGCAUUGUGGUACUAAGGUACAUGAGUAUUCUCACACCGUGGCAUUAGUUGGCAGUAAGUUUGUUAUGUAUCCAGUUGCCAAGUUUAAAUACCGACCAAGAGCUACUGCAGGAUUGCUAUAGCUUUAGCUUUCUUGUCUUAGUUCGUAGAAUGGAAGGCUUUUUCCAUGCACUAUUUUUUCUCAUCAUUCUACUACAUGUGAUCUCCACCGCUCGGCGCGCCGCCACCGCCGCUGCUGGGAUCAAACAAGCUGCAGCAGACCGUGCCGCCCUCCUCUCCUUCAAGUCCCUUGUCGACGACGAUCCGUUCAGAGCGCUCUCCUCCUGGAACAACGGCUCUCUCCACUACUGCAGGUGGCGCGGUGUCUCUUGUGGCCGCCGCCAUCCCGACCGGGUCACGGCCCUCAACCUCACGUCUCUCGACCUAGCCGGUUUCGUAUCGCCCUCCGUGGCCAACCUUACAUUCCUCCGGAGGAUCGAUCUGUCCGACAACAAGCUAGACGGGUACAUCCCGGAGGAGUUAGGAAGCCUACGCCGGUUGCGAUAUCUCGACCUGAGUGUGAAUUCUCUUCGUGGAACGAUCCCGUCUUCGCUCGGCAAUUGCUCUAAUCUUCAAGUACUCAACUUGGCAAAUAAUAAGCUCAACGGUGAGAUUCCGCCAACUCUAUCGCGUCUUUCCGGUCUUAGAGAUAUUCUCCUGAAUCAAAACAUGUUACAAGGGACGAUCCCAGAUUCAAUUGGGAAUCUUUCUUCUCUACUCGUUCUUUCUUUAGAUAACAAUAACCUGUCAGGAGCCAUGCCUCCAUCCGUCGGUAGCCUUCUCUCCUUGAAGACACUUGCAAUCCAAUUCACUAGUCUCACAGGAACCAUUCGGCCCACUCUCACAAAUCUCUCCUCUCUGAAAGAGCUUGGACUACGAGGAAACAACCUUCAUGGUGAAAUUCCUCACUUUGCAGAACUUCUGUUCCUCUCUUUCCAGGACUGCUCUGUUAAUGAUCUCUCCAGGUCCAUCCCAAUCUCGCUCGGACAACUUUCAUCUCUCGAAAAUCUCAUUCUCGGGAUGAACUACUUAACAGGAGAAAUACCGUUAUCCCUUUACAAUCUAUCAUCCCUGAAGAACUUAGAACUCGCUAAUAACCAACUCGAGGGAACUCUACCCUCUGAUAUCGGAAAUGCUCUUCCGAACCUUCAAUUCCUUCAUAUGAGUUAUAAUCAGCUUGGGGGGCGAAUUCCAGCAUCAUUGUCCAAUGCUUCUGAGCUCAGACACCUUGAGAUAACAGUCAAUGAAUUCCACGGCACGAUACCGCCGAGCCUUGGAGCCUUGCAGAGUCUCUCGCGGCUCGAACUGGCUGUCAAUCGACUCGAAGCCAGGACGCCUAGCGAUUGGAGCUUCAUUACAGCACUGACCAACUGCACCGGUCUCCGAGUGUUGGAUGUAGGAUGCAAUCUACUUCAAGGCAUGUUGCCCAAAUCACUAGUCAAUCUUUCCACUAGUCUUCUAUAUUUGACAUUCUAUAGCAGCCAAUUAUCAGGAAUUAUACCUGCUGAGAUUCGGAAGUUCAUCAAUCUAACUUAUCUUGAUAUGGGCAUUAAUAAUUUUCGAGGCACCAUUCCCAUAGAUAUCAGUCAUCUUUGGCAAUUACAGUACUUAGAUCUAUCAAAUAACACGCUUUCCGGUGAAAUUCCUCCUACUUUGGGCAACCUAACACGAAUGGACAAGCUCUAUCUCGGCAGCAAUGAAUUUGAAGGAGCCAUUCCGCGGACAUUAAGCAACAUGUUAGUGUUAGAGUUGUUAAAUCUAUCAAAUAAUAGGCUAAGCGGUAGCAUUCCGCAAGAAGUUUUGACCCUUUCGUCGCUCACAAACUUCCUUGACUUGUCGCAUAAUUUACUGAACGAUUCAUUACCAUCGGAAGUGGGCAACUUGAUAAAUGUCAGGGAGCUUGAUCUCUCAAAUAACAGGCUCUCUGGUGAGAUUCCAGACACCAUUGGCAAAUGCGCCAUCUUGGAAAUUCUUCAUUUGGAGAAUAACUUAUUUCAAGGGUCCAUUCCUCCCUCCAUCAGCAAUUUAAGAGGGCUUAAGAAGCUUGAUCUCUCAAAAAACUUCUACUCAGGCCAAAUACCGGCAUUCCUUGACGAGCUCCCGGAUCUACACUAUUUGAAUCUCUCCUUCAACAGUUUUGAGGGUCGAGUGCCAAUGAAAGGGGUCUUUAAGAAUGCGAGCGAAGUCUCACUUAUCGGAAAUAGUAAACUCUGCGGCGGAAUUCCAGAAUUACACUUGCUGAAAUGCACUUCAGAUGCCUUUGCAACAAAACAUCACUCUGAUUAUAAACUCAGAGUAAUACUCAUUCCUAUAUGUGGAGCAAUUUUGUGUUUGAUUAUAAUCAUAUGCUUGCUUGGGAUACAUCACUUGAUUAAAAACUCGCAGAGAAAGCCGCAGUCGAGGUUUUCCUUAAGAAACCGACACGCGAAAGUAUCUUACGAUGAGCUCUUGAGGGCUACAAAUGGGUUCUCCUCAGAUAAUUUGAUCGGCACCGGAAGUUUUGGGUCGGUUUAUAAAGCCGCCAUGAACUAUGAAAACGUCGACACCGUCGUGGUGAAAGUGCUUAACCUUCAACAGCAUGGGGCUUUCAGAAGUUUUAUGUCUGAAUGUGAGGCCCUGAGAAGCACUCGACACCGAAAUCUUGUCAAAAUUCUUACCUGAGAAGUGUCGAUGAAAGGGAUUUUUAAGAAUGCGAGCGAAGUCUCGCUUAUCGGAAACCCUAAACUCUGUGGUGGAAUUCCAGAAUUACACUUGCCGAAAUGCACUUCAAAUGCCUUUGCAGCAAAACAUCACUCUAAUUAUAAACUCAAGGUAAUACUAAUUCCUAUAUGUGGGGCAAUUUUGUGUUUAAUUAUAAUCAUAUGCUUGCUUGGGAUACAUCACUUAAUAAAAAACUCCAGGAGAAAGCCGCUAUCGAGGUUUUCCUUAAGAAACCAACACAUGAAAGUAUCUUACGAUGAGGUCUUCAGGGCUACAAAUGGGUUCUCCUUAGAAAAUCUGAUUGGCACGGGAAGUUUUGGGUCGGUUUGUAAAGCCGUCAUGAACUAUGAAAAUGCUGACAUCAUCGCAGUGAAAGUGCUUGACCUUCAACAGCAUGGGGCUUUCAGGAGUUUUAUGUCUGAAUGUGAAGCCCUGAGAAGCAUUCGACAUCGAAAUCUUGUCAAAAUUCUUACAUCGUGCUCUAGUUUGGAUCACCGCGGUAACGAUUUCAAGGCCUUGGUUUUUGAGUACAUGCCUAAUGGUAGCUUAGAAGAGUGGCUACAUCCAAAUGCAUGCCAGAAUAGGCCAUUCAGAAGCCUAAGCCUAAUCCAGAGGUUGAACAUAGCUAUCGACGUAGCCUCAGCAUUGGAGUAUCUUCAUCACGAAGGGUCCAUGUUGAUUGUUCACUGUGAUCUUAAGCCCAGCAACAUCCUUCUUGACAAUGAAAUGACGGCGCAUGUGGGCGAUUUCGGGUUAGCAAAGUUUCUACAGCAACCGCCUGACGAAUCAUCAGAGUGUUCAUCUACCAGCACUGUGGGAAUCAAAGGAUCUAUUGGUUAUGUUCCUCCAGGUGAGAAAUAUGCAAUAAAAUACUAACUUUUUUCACGCUUUACGGCAUUUCACGAAAAAAAAUAUAACACAUUUUCAGUUGAUUCCUAAUUAUACUAUAUCUUUUUUUUUUUUUGCCGCUUAUUAUCUUUUGAAGCAAAAACAAGUGAAUAGCAUAAGUUUAAUAAAUAAAAUUAGAAAUUUAGUAUAAAAUAUAGUAGAAAAGAAGGAAAAAAAUAUUGUGGGAAAUAAAAAGGAUAUUAGAUAUUAGCUACGAAAACCGACAUACUAGAGUUAGAAUAAACUGCUUGAUGCUUACUAUUAAAAACUGAUUAAUUAUGAGCACUAAACACACAAGAGCUGGAUCUUUAUUUCUGCAUAUCUAAUGCUAUUGUAGAUUUGAUUUAUAACCUAAAAGAUCAAAUUUAGUUUUUGUAACUAUGGCUUGGAAAACAGCAGAACCAAAUCCAAAUCCAAAUGAAUUCACCUGACAAUCUUGUAUUGUCUGUUUCCAAUUAACAUAUGUUGUGCAGAGUAUGGAAUAGGCUGUAAACCAUCUAGGCUCGGCGACGUGUACAGCUACGGAAUUCUUCUGCUGGAAAUGUUCACUGGAAUGAGCCCCGUCGACGACAUGUUCAAAGAUGGUCUGAGCCUUCGUGGAUAUGUUCGUGCUGCUGCUGCUUCUCCUGAACAUCUCAUGGACAUUAUAGACAGAAAACUGCACUCGGCUGAUAAUGAUAUAGCUUACCAAGAAGAGUGUGUGCGAGAUUGCGUGGUUUUGGUGUUCGACUGCAGUCUCUCGUGCUCAAAUGAAUUGCCAUAUGAACGAUGUGACAUGACGAAAGUCUUAAAGGUGCUGAGGGCAGCAAGAGAGAGGCUUCUAAGCUAAAAGCAGUUUUGCUCCCUAUGCUACGGUUCUCACUAGAGGCAAAUGAAUGUAUGUUUGAACAGCCUCUGCUUUUCCUUAUUUGCAUUUAAAAAGCAACCUUGUGUAAUGAAUAUGCCUAGUCCUUAUGGUUUUUGAUCAUUCCUUUCUAAAAUGAAUAUAAGCAAAAAGAGUUAAGCACUUCAAUUUAUUUUUGCAUCUGCAUACAUUAAUAGCUUAAAAUUCCUAAUUUCUGGCUCAAGUUUAUAGCUGAAGCCUAAUAAAACCCAUCAUUGCCAAAUCUCUGUUGAAUAUAUUUUUCAACAGAUAGCUCCAACCCUAUUUUUAGAAGGUUGUAUAUACAAAUUUUGGAUUUUAAGCACAAACUACAGAAAGAUCAUAAAUAGUAUGAUAGAAGGAGAAUAUUGACCAAGAAAAUUAAGAGGCAUUUACAUUCAAACAAAACGUCACAUACAAAAGCAACAAUCCAAUGCAAGGGACCACAAACACCGAAAAACACAACCAUCACCCAAAGUAUUUGACAUUCCAAAAAGAACACCAGAUACGUACAUAUACCACCCCUCCAGUUCGCGUCCAACACCAUCAUCUCCACCUGCACCCUCGGCUCGUCCAAAACGUCCGCAUACUAUAUACCAGAUACACCAAAUCAAACUCAAAUUCACGAAUCAAAAUCAAAUUUUGAGAAGAGACCCAGAUCGGGAAGUGGGGCGGGGACCUUAUCGGGGUAGGGCAUGGACCCGUCGCCGAGCACGACGUCGCGGGAGCCGUCGAAGGCAACUGCGGCGGAGCCGGUGUAGACGACACGGCGCACGCCGCACUCGAUUGCGACGCGGAGAUUAGGGUUUUGGUGGCCCCAAUGGCUAGGGCGUGGAGUUCGGAGAAAUUGGGGGUGGCGGUGGAGAUAAUGGAGGAUGAGGUUGUAAUAUCCCGGACUCAAUUUAGCAACCCGAUGAAUUACCUCAAUAAGGGUAAGGCUAAAUUGGGGAUGAUGAUGAGCUCUUAAUUGGCCUUCCUGAUCCAAUCUAGCCUCCGUUGAUAUCCAAUUGAGGAUCAGCUGGGAUUGGAGAUGAUGGUAAUAUGUUGAGCUGAGGAUUAAGGUAAAGGAAUUGAGAAUAGAGAUAAGAGGGGAAGAGAGAGAUAGGUAGAGAGAGUGACAGAGAAGAGUUGGGGAUCGAGAGAGAGAAACAGAGAGGAGAGGGAUGGGGAUUAGAAGUAGAGAAGGGAAUUGGGGAAGAGAAAUAGUAAAGAAGAAGAAGGGUUUGGGGAAGAAUUUUUGGGGGAGAAAUAGACUAAUUCAUUUCCAUUCAUGAUCCCUAGCUUAUAAGACAUCCUGAAUUUAUACUAGUUAGUAUCCGUACAGAAAGAAAAUUAUUUAAUCUCUGAGGACUAAACAGCAAUAGUGACAAAAAUAAGAAGUGGGCUGGUUGGGCCGCCAAUUCGGUGGUAGUUGGGCCCUCUUUCUGGGCUUUCUGAGCUCCUCUGCUGCUUGUCGGUUAUUCGGACUCGGGUCCGUCCUUCUCCGCACUACCCACAACCCGGCAGGUCUUGGGUUCGCCAUUUCGCCCCGAUCCGAGCCCCGCUUCGCCCGAUCCAUGCUUAACGGUAAGUGGGCGUCGGUUCCGGCCUUCUCCGCAUCAUCCACCACCCGGCGGAUAUCGGGUCCGCGUUUUACGCCCGCUCCGGUGAUCCGACCGCCCGAUCCGCCAGCUCUCUUCUUCGCCCCAAUUACCCAGGUUCUGUCGGGCUUCCUUCUCCGACCUCGAUCCUCCCAUUUCCCCUUCAGCUCCGACGAUGCCCUAGCCCCGCCGGUUCACCCUGCCGGAGUUCCGCCUGACGCCCUUCUCCGUGCUAUCCUCCGCCAGCGCCUGAGCCCCUUCGGAGGCGCUUCCCACCGGACCACUCCGCCGAGCUCGCUCCUCUCCCACCUCCUGCUGUCACUUCCCUGCUCUACCUUGUAAAGUUGACAUUUUUACUACUUCCCCAUGCUAACUACUACUACUACUUCUACCAUUUAUUCUUUAGGGUUGUUACAGAGGUGGUGCUGCUGCUGGGGUCGAUGUGGAAGACAACGACGGAGCCGGUGAGAGCGGGGAUGACCUGGGCCCGGUCCGAGAAGUCGACCGGGAGGUGAAACUGGCCGGGUGAACCGGGUUGGUGGACCGGUCCCGGGGAAGGGGAGGGAUGGGCGACGCGGACGGCCCAGUGGUCGGAAGAGACGAGCGCGGCGCCGAGGGAGCGGUCGAGGAAGCUGGACCGGCCGAAGCUGACGGCGAAGGGGAUCCGGUUCGGCUCAGCCACCAGUGUAUCGGGUUCGGAGAUCGCCAUUGAGGGGGAUUGAAGGGGGAUAGAGAGGGAGGGGUAGGGGGAACGAGGGAGAAAGGGAGGAGGAAGGGUAACGAGAAAGAGAAAACGGCGCCGUUAAGUGUUCGUAACGGCGUUUCUCACGCACGCGCUCGUGACGACCUGUUUCGUACCAAAUCACAUACAAUGGAAUCAAAAUUUUCAACCAUGUGAUUCAAAUUUAGUGAUGCGAACGGGACGGAUGUCGGAGCGUAGAUCCGCCGCUCCCCCCGCCCCCCACUAUUAAAAUCCCGUCCCACCUUCCCUCUGGAAUCUGUGACAAAUUAAAAAAAUGAAUCUGUAAUUCACUCCGUCGAAUAACCCAUUCUUUGCCGGCGUUCCGAAUCUGUCCCACCAACAAAUAUUUUUUUUAUAAAUUAUAAUAUUAUUUUUUUUUUUAGAAAAAUAUAGUACGCUACCCGCUUCAUUCAUUCAGGAAAUAAAUUUGGCUAUAUGGGUGAGACAACAAGGCCUCUAGAGAGAUAAAAAGCAGAGCGAAGACGAAAAAGAAAAUAAAAAAAUAAAAAAAUAAAAAAAUUGAGAAAAUCAAUCAUGGUUCGAAGAACAAGUCAAAAGUUUUGAAUGCAUGAGAAAUAAGAGUAUCAACUUAUUUUAUUUUAAACUUUUUUGUGAACAUAUUGUUUUUUAGAAAUUAUGUUAGUAUGCUAUCAAUAAUACCAAACGCUUGGUAUUAUCGAAUUUUCAGCCGUUGGAUGGAAGGAUGUACGGUUAGGAUGAUAGUAAUCCUCUAGGGUUGAGUAGGUGGCUGGUUGAAUAGUAUAAUAUAACGGGUGAAAAUAGUCAAAAAAUAGAUUUUACGGCAGAAAAAUUAAUAGUAGCAAGAACUUAAUAUUGUUGAUAGUAUACUAGCUGGACUCAUUUUUUUAGAGAUAUUUUCUUAACAUAUAAUGGAAUAUCUGCUUUUGAUUACAACACAGUAUUGAUGGCAAAAGUAAUAUGGCUAUAAAUAAUUGUGCCCCCAAAUAUUACAUUUAGUGGCGACAAAUAUUUGUCACCAGAUAUCACAUUUAGUGAUAACAAAUAUUUGUCACCAUAUUUUAUAUUUAGUGGCGACAAAUAUCUGCCGCCUAUAGUUAAACGUUGGUGGUAAAAAUUAGUUGCCGUCGAAUCUUGAUAAUUGGUGGUGAUAAAUAGUUGCCACCAAUAAUUUACUUUGGUGCCGAAAUAUUAUUGCGAUGAAUUGUUACAAUUUGGUGGCCGGUGGGACCUUUUGUGGCAUGAUAAUUUUUGUCAUCAUAAUAGGUAUGUCGACAUUUUUUAUAUUCGAUGAUGAUGAUUUUGGACACACUAGGUUGAACAAAAAAAUAAUGAAUAAAAAUAAUAAAUUAUUUAUAUACGAAGAAUAAAAAAAUGCUAAACAAAAAGAAAUUAGUAGGAGCAACAACUGUAACAAACUCAUGAGUUAUUUUUUGAAUGUUGAAUAUAUUACAAGAUUUUAACUCAUUUAUUUGUUUAAUUGGGAAUGAGCUUAUUAAAUAAUUUGUGUUUAUUUAUUAUGUAUGAUAUAUAUUUCUUAUUAUAUAAAAAUACUAAAAUCACAUUAUUUAAUAAAAUAUAUUAUUUUUAAAUAUUAUGUUAAAAAUAUGAUAGUAUAAAUUAUUAUUUAUAUUAUUUUUAUCUGUUUAAAAGGCAUAAUUUAAAUAAUAUUUAUAUUUACAAAAUAAUAUAGAAUUACCGGCAUUUAUUAAUACUGGAAUCAAAAAUAAAAUACUAGCAUUUAUAUAAUAUUGCAAAUUAAAUAAUAAUUACCGGCAUUUAAUUAGUGCCGGAGAUGACUAACAAAUACAAGUAUUUAAAUAAUGUCGGUAAUAGUCAUCUCUAUAACGACAUUUAUUUAAUGUUACUAAUUACUGAACAUUAACGGCAAUCUAUUUAAAUGCCGGUAGAAGAUUUACCAACACGAGUAUAAGCGGCAUUAAAAGCUGAAUGCCGCUAAUAGUUUUUGCAGCAUUUUUUUGACUUUCGGCGGUAAUAACUGAAUGCCGCUGAAACACAAUUUUUUUGUAGUGUCAAUAGAAGAAAAAAGGCAAAACAAAAAAAAACAAUAAUAGCAGCAGCAGAAGAAGAAAAAGAAUGAAUAUAGUAAUAGAGCAAAAUGUAUAUUUGUUGCUUUAUUUUACUAUCCAUCUGCUAUUGCCGUUUUUCAAAUGGCUUUAGAGAGUGAAAGAUAGAGGAAAGCUUCAUGUGCGAGAGGAGUAAAUUUUUAUGAAUAUAGUGAUUGAUAGGGAUGUGCAAAAAGAUAGGAAGAGAGAAGGAAAGAGAGAAAAAUUCAAAACUACAACGCGGCAAAAGAAGAAAAAGGAAAACAGGAAGCAGACAAAUCUUGUGAUCAACUAGUUCCAUACUCUCGUGGCGAGAUGUGAUGGCAAUGGGUUGGAGCAGCAGGAUACGUGGCGGGAUCAGCGGAUUCAAAACUAGGAUGUAUAAAUACAUCUUAUAUGUCGCAUUUUAAAAACCUCAUUAUAAAAAUUCAAAUUCUACAAAUUUUUAUAUAUAAACUUUUUAUAUAGUAUCGAUUGUAUCUAGCAAAGUAGAUUUUAUAAUUUUAUAAUAUUAAAUUUUAAAAAAUAAUUUAGUAUAUGUAAUGCACUGAUAGACUGAGUGCUAACAAUAAUUUAUUACAGUUGAGAAGAAAAGAUAAAGUGGUGAUUGAAAAAUAUUUCGUACCAUCGGAGUGUAAAACUAAAUUUUGUAGUCUACAUUUCUAAAAUAUUAUUCUAAAAAUUUAAACUAUGUAAUUUUUUAUCCAUAACUUUUUAUAUGAUUUAUAUAGUAUAUAUUAAAUAUAAAUUUUAAUUUUAUAAUAUUGAUUAGUUAAAAUAUGUUGUACAGUAAAAGAUCAGAGAGAGAUUGAUGGAGGAAGAGAGAGAGAGUAGGAGAAUCUAGAGAGAGAGAGAAAGAGAGAGAGAGAGAGAGUCUAGAUGGUAUAAAAAAAAGGUCCACCCCACUCCUGACGUAGAGAAUGUAGGGAUACAAAUUGGGUGGAUCUGGGAGUGGAAGCCCCACCCCGCCUCCCGCCACCACUAGCAAAAUCUCGUCUCGCCUCCCGUCCUGAAUCUGUGACAGGUUAAAACAUACGUUCCAUAAUUUGCCCCGCCUCUUAACCCGCCUCCCACCGGCGCCCCGAAUCCGCCCUGCCAACUAAUAUUUUUUAUAAAAUUAUAAUAUUAUUAAUAUUUUGUAAAAUAUAAAUUAAUAAUUUUUAAUAAUAUUAUAUAUAUAAUUUAAUAAUAUCAAUUAUAAAAUAAAAAAUAUUAAUUAUAAUUCAAAACAAAAUUCAAAAGUUUCAAAUGAAUUAGAAAUGAGAGUACUAACUUAUUUGUAUUUUAAACUUUUUUUGUAAAUAUAUUAUUUUUUAGGAAUAUUUUUUUAAAAUAUAAAUUAUUUUCGGGGCGGAUUCGGAACAGAUCAUGGUGGGGUGGAUUCGGGACGGGUCAAAAUUUUUUCCGUUUUUGUCCCGAAUCCGUCUCGGAUCGUAAAAUUUAUCCAAUUUUCUGCUCCAAAUUCGUUUAUUUUCUCCCAUUUAUUGUCCCGUCGGGGCUGAUCGGACCAGAGCUCCACCAACCCAGAUCUGUUUGCAUCCUAAGAGAAUGGGCAAAUUAGCGUAACAGAACACCAUGUUGGAUUUCAACUGAAAAAAAUGGACCCAACCCCGCUUAGCCUCUUGUUUCGCUCAAAUCGACAUGGAGAAUGGGCACCGACAGUCCCUUGAGCAAGUGGCAAAGGGCUUGGUGGUUGGUACCCGAGAUCCAAGUUCGAAUUCUAGUUGAUUCAUAUUUCUAGCUAAGUUUAUUUCUAAAUGAAAUAAACGAAGCGGGUAGUGUACUAUCUAUCUCUCUCAAAAAAAAAAAAGAAAAAAAAAACAUGGAGAAUGGGCAAAGAGAAGAAUUGGGAUGAAAACAAAGUGGGCUCCACUCCAACCCUCAUUUGUCAAAAUCAACCGGGGCGUCACAUUCGACGACUUCAACUAGUGUUAUUAUACACAUUAUAUAGUGUAAAUGGAUGCAAUGCACCAAUACACUCGGUGCUGCUAAUAAUUUAUUGUAGUUGAGACAGAAAAGAUAGAGUAAUGCAGGAGAAAUAUUCAUAUAUCGAGUGUAAAAUUAAAUUUUAUAUAUUACAUUUCUAAAAUCUCAUUAUGAAAAUUUAAAUUAUAAAACCUUUUACACAUAGCUUUUUAUAUUAUUUAUAUUCUAUGUAUUAAAUAUAAAUUUUAAUUUUAUAAUAUUCAUAAGUUAAAAAUAAAUUGUACACUAAAAAAUGAAAAAGAGAUUGAUGGACAAUAAAACAGAAAGGAGAAUUGGGUAAGAAUAGGGAUGUCAAUGAGUAUGGAUAUCCGAAAUUUUAUCCGAACCCGAACCCGAAUGAAACGGAUAUAUCCAAUACUAAAUGGAUAUGGAUUUGGAUAUGGAUAUCAAAAAUAGAAACCCGACGGAUAUGGAUUCGGAUAUAGAUUUUGACUGUACCAAACCCGAACCCGAACCUGACCCAAACCCGAAUUUAUUUUGUAUUAUAUGUAAUAUAUAUAAAAAAAUUUGAUGUUAUAUUUGAAUUUGUAUUUUAGAAAUUUAGAUUUAAUAUAAUAUAUUUCGAAAUAUUGAAAAAAAAAUAAUUAUUUCGGGUUCAAAUUUUCGGAUUCGGGUUCAGGUUCGGGUCUCGGGUUUGGAGUCGGGAUCAGGUUUGGAUUUUUGAAAAUUCGUCACGAAACCGACCCGUUGACAUCUUUAGGUAUAAAAAAAAAAGGUGGGUCUCACCCCCACCUUCUCCACCAGAAACUCAGUUUAUAAAAAAAAAAGGUGGGUCUCACCCCCACCUUCUCCACAGCUAAUGGAUUUCUUUGAUCCCAAAGAAGGCGCAAGCUAUUGCACCAGAGCAUUUCCGACCUAUUAGCCUUACCCAUGCUAUUAGCAAAAUUAUCUCAAAGGUGCUCGCGACCCGCUUGCUGACAGUCAUUGAUUUACUCAUUGACCCGCAUCAAACAGCCUUUAUCAAGAACCGUAGCAUUCACGACAGCUUUGUAAUGGCUCACGAGGUUCUUAACGCUGCUAGAAGGCGGAAGAAAAAAUUGGCCCUUUUAAAAAUUGAUUUCUCUAAGGCUUUCGACAGUGUUAGCUGGCCUUUUCUGCUAAAUCUCCUAAUCUGUCGUGGUUUUGACAUUAAAUGGACUACUUGGAUCUCAAAACUUUUGUCCUCCGCUUGCAGUUUUAUCCUCGUAAACGGAUGCCCGGGCAAGUUGCUUCGUCUCCGACGGGGACUAAGACAGGGCGACCCUAUCUCACCUUAUCUCUUUAUCCUUGUGGCUGAUGUUCUGCAGAGACUUGUGCAGCGUGCUUCAUCCGCCAAUCUCCUUCCGUCACCCUUAGGCAUUACUGGCCUUAGUCCUCUUUUGCAAUAUGCGGAUGACUCUCUACUUUUUUGCGAUGACAACGUCGAAAACCUUCUCAAGUGCAGGACACUACUUCAGGCCUUCUGCCGUUCGUCAGGUUUAUCAAUCAAUUUUGCGAAGACAUCACUCUAUGUUGUUAAUCUUGCUGAACCAUCUCAUGCUUCACUUGCAAAUUCCUUCAACUGCUCUAUGGGUCACUUCCCAUUAACAUACCUUGGACUGCCACUUUCGCCGGCUAAGCUCCCAACUUGUGCUUUCAACUCUCUUAUUGACAAGUUCCAUAAAAGACUCUCGGGAUGGAAAAGUGCUCUACUAUCACCGGCUGGUCGAGUUGUUUUAAUUAAUUCAGUUCUUACAAAUUUACCAAUCCAUUACCUAUCUGUUUUUAUUUUACCUAAGGCUAUUACCCACCAGCUGGGGGAGCUCCUGCGACGUUUUCUGUGGAGGAAAUCUUCAUGUCCUAUAAGAGAAGGUGUACCUCUAGUCACCUGGGAUAUUGUGGCUAGACCUAAAGCUUUGGGCGGACUUGGAAUAGCAAACAUCUACUACAAGAACUUGUCUCUUCUCUGCAAGUGGCUUUGGAGAUUUGUCUCGCAACCGGACUCACCUUGGGCAGUUUUAAUUAAAUCGGUAUAUUAUUCCACUUUCCCUCUCAGCUGGAAGCAUCCCCGACAAAGCUCUCUUUCUUGGCGUAGUGUGCUAAAGACGUACCCUAUCUUCAACAUCUCACACUCUUUUGUGGUUUAUAAUGGGAUGAAGACAUUUUUUUGGUUAUCAUCUUGGUUAGGCACACCCCUGAUGGAUCAAUUUCCGGCUCUAUUCUCCUACUCUGCUCACAAAUUUGCUCUUGUGUCCGAGGUUUUUAUUGAUAAUCUGUUCUCAUUACCGGUCAUCUCUUACCCGUCCAUCAUUGCACAUGAGGAGUUUUCGACACUCUGCCACAGGUUAUGCAACUUCCAAAUUUGCGUCGGCCCCGACAUCUGCUGCUGGAAAUGGACUCCCCAUGCCACUUUCUCCACUGCAUCAGCAUACAAUCUGUUCUUUGCUGGAUCCACAUUCGACUCGACUCCGAUCACUGUUUGGUACUCUUUUGCGCCACCUCGAGUGCAGUUUUUUAUGUGGCUUUUAUAUAAAAACCGAAUUUUAACUCAUGACAACCUUCGGCGUCGUGGCUGGAUUCUCGCCUCAAGAUGUGAGCUUUGCUUUAAUGCUGGCGAAGAUAUCAUUCACUUAUUCCUCCAUUGCCCCUACUCCCUAGCAGUGUGGGCAUCUCUCAAUCUUCUUCUUUGUCUACCUCAACCAUCUUUAUUGGGACUUGGAGACUCUUGGGCAAUGUGGUCAUCUCGCCUUCCUAAGGAUAUUCGAAAGGUUGGGAACACCAUCUUCAGCUGCUUCGCUUGGUCCAUCUGGUCUGAGCGAAAUCGUCGCAUCUUCGACAACACUUGCUCUACUCCCCUCUCCACCGCAAGCCGUAUUCGCAUGCUAAUCGCUGAUGUCGAUAUUUCAUCUUUGACGUGAUCACUUUGUGUCCCCUCACUUUUUAAAUUUUUAGUUGCUAUUAUAUACUGUUUGUCUGAAACCUUGUAUUAUUGUUAAUCUUUCUUUAUUAAGUACACCUUGGUCAGCCCUUUUGGGCCGACCUGUUUUCUUUUUCAAAAAAAAAAAAAAAAAUUUGAAGUGAAAAAAAAAAUGGAGCGCCACGUAGAGCAUGCAGGGAGAGAGAAGAAUUGAAAUGAAACAAAAAUGGGCCCAUCCCAACCUGUUUUGCGCAAAUUAACAUGGUAGCGCCAUGUUGGAUAUAUAGAAUAUGUAGAUUUUCUGAGAAGAAAUGCUAAAUCUACAACUUAAAAUCUCUACAAUCUCUUAUCCAAUGGUCUUUGGAUCUUAUCGCACUUUUUCUAGUCCCUAAUGGCAAGAUUUGUAGGAAAAAGAUGUCUUUUGUAUUAAUAAAAUGGUAAGAUUACAACUGAACAAGUAGUUUUGAAAUUGCUUCUAAAUUUUUAUUAUGUUGUGUUGAGAACCGUUUCGCUUUUGAUUUACUCUAAAAUUGAGUGAUUUUAGUCAGGAAAAUAAAAACUUUUGCCAAAUUAACUGAUGAUUUUAUUAAAUUUAAUAAAAAAACUAAAUUAACAGUUAAUAAGUAAUAGAGUUAUUAAAUUUGAUAGCUAAACUAAGUAUGAAAACUCAAAUAAAAAAACGACAUGGAGGGGCUCUCAAUAAAAUAUAUAUAUAUNUGGAGGGGCUCUCAAUAAAAAAAAAAUAUAAAUAUAAUUAAGUGAGUUAUUUCAAAAUGCCUAGAAAAAUGUUCAUAUAUUAUUUAUAUCUCUCACUAAUUGUUCUAAUGCAAAUGGUAAAGUGAUGAUUGGUACUCAAGGUCAUAAAUUUGAAAGUUAAUUAUUUUAUAUUUUUAAUUAAAUAUAUUUUUUUAAAAAAAAUUAAACGAAGCGCCGUGCACUACACAUUUCCUUUUAACCAAAAUUAUUUGGUUUAUCAAAAUACCGGGCGACAUUCAUUUAUAAUAGAAAAAAAAAAUGUCAUGCAUUUUCUAAACUUUAGAGAGUAGACAAAUAGAUCCCCGAGUUUCUAAUUUUGACAACUAAACAACCUAAACAUUAUCAAAUAAUUCAAUCAUCCUUCCUCUAUAAGAAAGUUGCUAAUUAAAUGUCCAUUUUCGGCAAAUAUCUUGCGUGUGAUUUUGUGAAGCUUCAAAAUAUAUUAAAAUUUGCUUUUCUUAUUCUAACGCUUGAGAAAAGUAAUAAUUAAAAUGAAAGAUGGAUUUAAUUUGUAUAUUCUUCAAUCCAUAGAUCUUUGUUUUGUUGCGAAGAGAGAAAAAACAAUUUUUUUGUUUUUUUUUUUUUGAAACUUAGCAAGAUUAGAUCUGCAAAACAUACUACCAAAAUGACUUUUUAAUUAGUAACUUCUCUUGUGAAAAUUGAUCAAUUAAACUAUUUGGUUAUUUUAGUUAAUUUGAUUAUUUUAGAAGAUCUAGUGGCUAAAAAGCAAUGCUACAUAUACAUUCCAUUUGCGGUGUAUAUCCUACACCUUAUCCAUCCAAUGGGUGAGGUGUUUUCACCAGUCAGUUAACGUGACUGGUAGUUAACACCCUAACCAUUGAAAAAUACCACUUGUACACUCCAUCCGGAUGCACAUUAAGUAACUGGUGAAAACAUAUAAUCCAUUGGAUAGGUGAGAUAUAGGAUAUACAUCCAAAUAGAGUGUAUAUGUAGCAUUGCUCUUUUGAUAUGUCUCUAUGUAAAAACGUAUGUUGAUUAUGUUCUAUAGGCAAAUUUGAAAUUUGCUCCCUCCAGUUUUAUUUUAUGUGGAUUGAGAGUUUGAGACACCCCUUCACUAUUGAUUUUUUAAAAACUGAUAUUUCUGUUCUUCUAAGGCCAUCUGUGUAAAUACAUGCCUUUGGAAAGGCAAUGAGGAAAUUCUCCUUUCAAAAAACUUAAGAGGGCUAUUUCAGAACCACCUAUAAUUGAGGGGGUCUCCAUACAUUUUUAUAUAUAAAUAACAAAAAACUUCAAAGACCAUCCCUAUAGUUUCACACUUUCUCACUUUAGUACCAUGUGGUUUAAAGUAUAUCAAUUUAGUGCCCUAUAGUUUAUUUUUCUUUUUUUAUUAUCAAUUUCAUUAAUUUUUUUUUUCUUAAAUUAGUGACAAAGUUAAAACUAAAGGGUACUAAAGUGAAUAUUCGAUAAACAUAGGUGGGUAUCUGAAGGAUUUUGUAUAUAAUUUAACGAAAUAUUAACGAAGAAACUGACGAAAAUAAAAAAAUAAAACCACUUUAAAUCACAAGGUAUUAAAGUGAGAAAGUGCCAAACCACGGAUGGUUUUUGAAGUUUAUCCUAUAAACAAUUAACCUCCAAUAAUUCGUUCUAUUUCGUCCACUAGUCUCCUUGUUUACUCCAGUCACCUCUGCAAAAUGUCAAUUCACUAAUUGUUAACUAAAUCUUCAAGUGGGAAGUCCAAUACCAAUUGGGCAACUAAGUGUAGUAUUGACUUUUGGUCCGAUUGCUAGGAGGGGGAGGGGGGGGGGUGCCAAUUGGGCAACAAGUGUACGGGGGGGUCUUUUCCCAAUAUGUAUACCUUCUUUCGCAUCACAAAAAUGGGAACAUCAACGAUUAUUUGACUAGCGACCGAUGAAAUUGGAGCAAAAUUUUUAAUGGCAAUAGCACUAGUGGACACAGAUUGAGCUCUAGUUACGUAGCACUUAGGGAAAGGAUCUCCAUUUUCAAACUCGAGCAUAGACCAGAUAGCGUACAUUAGCGUUGGAGCCCUGACGGGCGGUUCACGGUGAAAUCUGCCUAUUCGAUGCUGAAUGAUUGGUGUAUAAAGGACGCCCGGACAAGCAAGAUUUGGAACAUUCGAGUACCCCUAAAAGUGAAAGUGUUUUGCUGGAUUGUUCUUAAGAUGCAGCCUCUUACUGUAGACAACCGAUUAAAGAGAGGUUGGACUAGCAACAUAGCAUGCGUGUUGUGUAGGGUUGAAGAGAAAACUGUCGACCACUUAUUCACACGAUGCGUCUUCUCGAGAUUUCUAUUGGUGAUGAUCUUGGAGUAUGCACAGUCUAGAGAUUGGGGGGAUGACGUAAGCUCGGUCUGGGUUAGGUGGAUGACGAGGAUUGGAACGCAGUCGUCGAGUACUACGGUAUCCGGAUUGGUAGCCAGCUGGUGGGUAAUUUGGGAGGUCAGGAACAACGUGAUCUUUAGGAAGACCCAACCGGACCCGUCUUUGCAGCUUACAAGAUUAAGCAACUGACGAAUCUUUGGAGCAAUUUCUACUAGGUAAUUGACGACACGCUUGUAGUCGGUAGUUUUUUUUUUUUUUUCGCCCCCUACGAGGCCUAUGUUGUCUCACCCCAAUAGUUUAGUUCAUCUUUUCAAUUAAUGAAUCGGGUAGCGUGCUAUCUAUUUCUCAAAAAAAAAAAAAUUUUUGAUUAAACAGGGAUAUACCUUAUUUGAUAAAGAGAAUUAUCACGACAAAUUUGAUGGUUGUAUUGAAAUAGUGAUGCAUUGCACAAAUAUACUGGUGGUAGGUGCUUUUAGUUAGCCACUUGGUUCAUUUUUUACAUUGCGCCAAUGUGCUGUUACAAUUAAGUGGCACUAUAAAAAAUUUUCAAUAUAAGAAAGCUUUUUAAAUAAUAUUUGAAAAAAUAUCUCCAAGCUACCUAUAAAAUAGCAAAUAUCGAUAUUUCAAAAAAUAUCGUCAUAUGAUUAUAUGAACCCUCUAUUAUAAUAAAUCAAUUUAUUAGAUGAUAAACUUUAUUAUUAUUUUAAUUUUUCGACGCAUUAAAAUGUUAAGAUUUUAAAAGUUCUUAAAAAUUCUAACGCUUUAAAACGUCAGAAUAUAUUUGAUCGACGCUUGACAUAAACGUCGGUAUAUACGUGGUGAUGUUUUAACAUAUGCUUUUAAAUAUCACGCUAAACUAUAUUAAGACAAUUUUAAAUAUCGUUAAAUAUAAAAAAAUAUAUGUUUAAAUGUUAAUGUUUUUUUGUUAGUGUGGCCUUAGUUAUCUACUUUAUUUAUUUUUUAUAGUGCAUAAAUAUACAGCUACAAAUAGGAGUAGAUGGUUUUAGCUGCCUGCUUAGCUAAAAUAUAAAGUAAUUAAAUUUCGAACUUAAAAACUCGAAUACUAAUUAUUAAGCUUUUAACCAAUUACCGUUAGUUACAUUUUGCAGAAAUAUUGCGGUACAAGGUACAUGAUCAGUAUUCUCACACCAUGGUAUUACUACCUUAUGACAACGAAAUAGGAUUUUGACUAAGCGUCGAAGUUAGUUUGUUAUCUAUCCAGUUCCCAAGAUUAAAUACCAACGAAGAGCUACUGCAGGAUUACUAUGGCUUUAGCUUCUCUUGUCUUAGUUCGUAGAAUGGAAGGCUUUUUCCAUGCACUAUUUUUUCUCAUCAUUCUACUAUAUGUGAUGUCCGCCGCCUGGUGCACCGCCACUGCUGCCGCCGGGAUCAAACAAGCUGCAUCCGACCGCGCCGCCCUCCUCUCCUUCAAGUCCCUCGUCGACGACGAUCCGUUCAGAGCGCUCUCCUCGUGGAACAACGGCUCUCUCCACUACUGCAGGUGGCGUGGUGUCUCCUGCGGCCGCCGCCAUCCCGACCGGGUCACGGCCCUCGACCUCAAGUCUCUCCGCCUAGCCGGUUUCGUAUCGCCCGCCGUAGCCAACCUCACAUUCCUCCGGAGGAUCGACCUGUCCGACAACAAGCUAGGCGGGCGCAUCCCGGAGGAGUUAGGAAGCCUACGCCGGCUGAGAUAUCUCAACCUGAGUGUGAAUUCUCUUCGCGGAACGAUCCCGUCUUUGCUCGGCAAUUGCUCUAAUCUUCAACUACUCAACUUGAGAGAUAAUAAGCUCGAUGGUGAGAUCCCACCAACUCUAUCGAGUCUUUCCGGUCUUAGAGAGCUUAUGCUGCGUCAAAACAUGUUACAAGGAACAAUCCCUUCCCAUCUAACACAGUGUAAAGAGCUUCAGGUUGUCGAUCUAAGGAAUAACUUUCUCACAGAAGAAAUUCCACCAGAGCUUGGCUAUCUUCACAAGUUAAUAUCGUUAGCUCUAAGCUACAAUAAUCUUACAGGAGCCAUCCCUGCUACUUUGGGCAAUCUUGCUCAGCUUCAAAACCUUGAUCUAAAAUUCAAUAGCCUUUCUGGGUCCAUCCCGGAUUCACUUGGGAAUCUCUCUUCCCUAAUCUAUCUUUCUUUCGGCAAAAAUAACUUGUCAGGACCCAUGCCUCCAUCCUUCGGUAGCCUUCUCUCCUUGAACAUACUUGAAAUCCAACAGAAUAGUCUCACAGGAACCAUUCCGUCGACUCUUACGAACCUCUCCUCUCUGAACGUGGUUGCACUACGAGGAAACAACCUUCAUGGUGAAAUUCCUCGCUUUGCAGAACUUCCACUCCUCUUUUACCUGGACUGCACUUCUAACAAUCUCUCCGGGACGAUCCCAAUCUCGCUCGGACGACUUUCAUCGCUCGAAUAUCUCCGUCUCAGGAUGAACAACUUAACAGGGGAAAUACCAUCAUCCCUUUACAAUCUAUCAUCCCUGAAGACCUUAGAACUCUUUUAUAACCAAAUCGAGGGAACUCUACCCUCCGAUAUCGGAAAUGCUCUUCCGAACCUUCAAGCCCUUUACAUAUAUGAAAAUCAGCUCGGGGGAAAAAUUCCAGCAUCCUUGUCCAAUGCUUCUGAGCUUAAAGACCUUGAGCUAAUGGCCAAUGCAUUCCAUGGCACGAUACUCCCGAUCUUUGGGGCCUUGCAAAGCCUCUUGCGGCUCGAAUUGGAGGGGAAUCAACUUGAAGCCAGGAAGCCUAGUGACUGGAGCUUCAUUACCGCACUGACCAACUGCACCAGUCUCCAAUUGUUGGACCUAGGAGGCAAUCAACUUGAAGGCACACUGCCCAAAUCUCUAGUCAAUCUUUCCACUAGUCUUAAUGUUUUGGUACUCAAUAGCAACCAAAUAUCAGGAAUUAUACCUACCGAGAUUGAGAAGCUCAUCAGUCUAACUACUCUUGACAUGAGUGGUAACGACCUUCAAGGCACCGUUCCUGUAGAAAUCAGUCAUAUUAGGCAACUACAGCUCUUACGUCUGUCAAAUAACAUGCUUUCGGGCGAAAUUCCUCCCACUUUGGGCAACCUAACACGAAUGGACAAACUCGAUCUCGGCAGCAAUGAUUUUGAAGGAGCCAUUCCGCCGACAUUAAGCAAACUGUUAAUGCUAGAGUUGUUAGAUUUAUCAAAUAAUAGGCAAAGCGGUACUAUUCCUAAAGAAGUUUUGACCCUUUCAUCACUACCAAUCCUCCUUGACUUGUCGCAUAAUUUACUCAACGGUUCAUUACCGUUGGAAGUGGGCAACUUGAUAAAUAUCUGGGGGCUUAAUCUCUCAAAUAACAGGCUCUCUGGUGAGAUUCCAGACACCAUCGGCAAAUGCGCCAUCUUGGAAAUUCUUCAUUUAGAGAAUAACUUAUUUCAUGGGUCCAUUCUUGCCUCCAUUGGCAAUUUAAGAGGGCUUGAGGAGCUUGAUCUCUCAAAAAACUUCUUCUCAGGCCAAAUACCGGCAUUCCUUGACGAGCUCCCGGAUCUACACUAUUUGAAUCUCUCCUUCAACAGUUUUGAGGGUCGAGUGCC